AAAUAUCCUAAAGUCUUCCUUUCAGCGUGACAAUUUCUUUUCCCAAUUCAUUUGGCUGUAUAUUAUUCUAGUGUCUUGCUACUAAAAGAAGAGAUCAUUGACACUAUUUGUUGGGACAGAUUUUGUCAGAAAAGCAGCGAAUUGAAGCAUCGCAUAGUCCGCCUACAGAGGACGCUAUGCCUCCACCACCAUCGUAUAAGGAUCUCAGCCGUAGCUUUGCUUCUGAAACCUAUGAUGAAUUGACAGAGUUGAGGGACUCUUUCUUAGGAGAGGUAUCUUUAUGCUAAUGUUGUUGUAUCCAAGUUUUAGUCUGUUCGACUCUUUAGUUUCUAGUAACUGUUUCUUUUCGCCUACCGCAGGUAAUGUACACCUUCCACACUGUAACUGAUGUGGAGUUAAGUUUGUCAUUCGGGGAUUACGUUGUCGUCCGGAAGGUUCUGUCAUCUUUCCUGCUUGCAUGCUUUCAUCUUAUAUUCAUGUUCGGAUUUAUUUCUUUCGUAUUGAGGUUAAAUUUUCAUGUUCAGAGACGUUCACUCAGGUAUGUUCGUCAAUGCAUAUGCAUUAGCACACCACCGAGUGUAUUAGAAUAUGGAUUUCAGUUUUGGGUGCUGCAUGCAUUAAUGUAGUUUGUGUGGUUUUGGUUAUUGCUGCCGCUGAGCGUGAGUGGCUUUCUGUAGUUGCUGAGAGUUAUAUUGUGAGCAUAAUUCAUACAGCAGCUUUCAUAUACGGCACAUGUAGUCGGCACUGCAUUUAGAAAGAGAAAGUUAUAUUUUCUUCACUGUCUAUUCAAAACUGUUGAUUGAUAAUAAUUGACUCAAGUGAAUGCCACAUCAUCUGCCACAUCAUCUGCCAUGUCAUUCAUAUUUCUGUUUUGAAACCUGUUGUUCCCUUGAUAGCCUUGAAUAUCACCAAUUCGGGAUCCUGCAUUUGAACUCUCUCCUUGUGAAUACCCGGAAUUCUGAUGACCACCUGUGACCUUAUCUCCUUGAACAUACAUUGCAGCCAUGCCACUUGCCAGCGUAGAGACCCUUGCUUCCAUAGCAGAUUCAACACCAAUCAACUGCGCUCUGAAAUCUUUCAGCGGAAUAGAAGUCUCCCUUGCUAAAACUACAGCCUUGACAAUAUCAAACUCCGGUGGUAAUCCAGAUAAAGCAGUAAUAACAAAAUCAUUAUCAGUAAUCCUCUCCCCUGCAGACACAAGCUGAUCCCGAAUGGCUUUCAACCGAAGCAAAUACUUGUCAAUAGAAUCACUGCCUUUUUGAAUUGUAUGAAACUCAAUUUUGAGUUGAUUAAUCCUAGCCCUGGACACAGACGCAUAGCGGUCUUGUAAAUUUAUCCAAGCUUCAUGAGACGUUUUACACCCUAUUACAUAUUCCAUAGCAUCAUCCGACAAAGUAGCAAUUAACAGACUCAAUAGGGCCAUAUCUUUCUGAACCCAAGAUUUAUAAGCUGCUGUGAUUUCUGUAGUCACUCCAUUCUCAGUGUUAACCACAAACUUUGGUGGACAAGGAGACUCACCAGUAAAGAAUUCAAAGAAAUCAUACCCUCGUAAAACCGACUGAAACUGAUAAUUCAACUUAACAAAAUUGUCAUCUUGCAACUUCACAGUCAACAUACCAAGCAAACUUUCAAUGCGUACUGAUUUAUCAGACAUCUUUAUCACAAAGUACUGACAAGAAAUCAAUCUCAAUCACAAAUAUGUUUAACUCCAAACUUCAACAAUGAUCACCUCUUCAAUAUAUUCUCACUACUUCUUGGCAUCGGCCUUCUAUAUGUAUAUACUUCAAAAGCUGAAAUUCCAGCAAUUUCGCAAAUGAACAACUGUAAUCAUAUCACACCACAACUAUAAUUCGUCUAUCUUCAACAAAUCUUGGCAUCAGCCUUAAUCAAAUCCAACACAUAACCCAUAUAUGAAAAACCAAAGAAAACAUUCCAAUUCACCAUAUAUCUUCACUGAAGCAAAAACGCAAACACUUGAUGUGCAAAGAAUAAGGAAAGAAACCAACAACUUGAUUGAAUGACCCUCAACCCAAAAUUCAUCAGCAAGCGUUCAAGCACUUCACCAAUCCUCCAAGAACUCCACCACAGCCUUCAACGAUCGAUCCCAAAGAAUUUCUCAGCGGAAGAAAAUACCCAAAAAAAAAAUCAACCUUGGCUCGAUACCAUCUUAACCAAGAAGAUCAGACUUGCAGAAAGAAAAAGAAAGAAACAAUACAGAGAAUAUAGAAGAAAACUUAGAAAGAAUAUGAAAGGUUUUGUAUUGAUAGAAUGAUAUUUUCUUACAAACAAUAAGCUGCAAUCAGCUUUUUAUAUCCCUAUAGUAGCCUAACUACCUUGCUUACUGUGUAAGCUACACAGCACCAUCCUAACUAACUUUCAACAGAAAUAUGAAUGACAUGGCAGAUGAUGUGGCAGAUGAUGUGGCCUUCACUUGAGUCAAUUAUUAUCAGUCAACAAAAACUUAUAUGUUGCAUGUUCUGGCUUUUAAAGUGAGUCGGCAUCAGAGUUUUUAUUUGAGAAAAAUCAGUUUUGUGUCCAUGUGUUUUCAAAGAAAAUAUUUUUGUUUUUAAUCACUGAUUUUUCAUUGUGCUUCAAUUAGAAAUCAAUUAUGAGAAUCUGCCUUGUGAUUUUCGUAAUUGGUUGAUUUCAAAAAAUCAUUACAUUUCAUACAUUCUGCAUGAUCGCGUUAGUAUCUUGCAAAGUUCGAGGACACAAUGAUUGACGGUCGCGUUAGUGUCGUGCCACUUUCACUUGAAGGCUGAAGAGAUCAAGUAGCAAAGCGCAAUGAAAAAAAUUGCCUACUAGUAUGUGGGUCUAGUUAAUGAGUUUUGUAAGUCUUUCCAUACUCAUUUCUCUUAUUGUUUGUUCUAGCUUAAGAGUCUGAGGAUUUUCUCAGUGGUGAGUUUUACCUUGUUUAAUUCUACAUCAUGUGUACACAUGUUAUUUGUCUUUUUAUUGCAAAUGUGUAGGAUAAUCUUUCACUUAUUUUCUUAUAGUGAACUCUAUCUUAGACAUUCAUCAACAUAUAGAGUUUACGACAGAGGACUUUUGCUACCAUAUUAUUCAGUGCAUUGAUUAAUUUGUAAAGCUCUCAUUUAUCCAAAUUAUAAAAUAUAAUCUGUACAAGACAUUAAAAAAAUGGAAGUGUCUUUCAACAGUUUGGAUGUCAUGUAUGGCCAUAUCCUUUAUUUCCAGAGUAAUGUUAUUCAUACCAUGUUUUUAUACCACAUUUAUAUACCACCUUAGGUGGCAUCUGAUGUGGACAACCACAUUAUUUGAAAAAUUUGCAAAACUCGAGAAAAUGAAGGAGAAAUACUCCUUGUAUGCCACAAUCAUAAUUUAAUUAACUAGUUUUUCUUAAUUAUUAGUUUAUUAAAUAAUGAACUAAAUUUAAAAAUCUGAUUAAUUGAAAUGAUGUGUCUGUUCACAUCAAAUGCCACCGAAUAUGGUAUGAAAAUAUUGUACAAAAACAUAAUAUAAAUAACAUUACUCUUAUUUCCACCAUUCUUAUCAACUGGAUGGGGAUAUAAAGACAUAAUGUGGCAAUCGUCCAUUAGAAAGGUAAUGUACGUUUUGAAAAUCGUGGCAAAUAUUGAAUGAGUAAUGACGCCUCUAAAAAUAAAAUUUAGUUAUUUGAAAGAAUCUUUCAUAAAAUAAAGUAACGAAUAAUCAACAAAAGUAGCAGUACACCAAGUUGAACCUUUUUCAACGUUGAAAUGAAAUAUGAAAGGAGAUCAAGUUGAUAUUAUUCAUCUACUUUUUUUUUUUUAAUAAACGAUAUUGUCUACGUUAAGAAAAUGGACUUGGCUAAGCCUCACAAUGGACUAGCAAUAAUAUGAUUCAAAUUCACAUUUAGCAAGAAUCAAACCAAAAGAAGAGAAAUAUUAUUAGACUGUAACAUUAUUCAUCCACUUUUAAAUAAUAAACAAUCAAGAAAAACACUGCACGCAGUCCCCUCUCGUCACUUACCACUAGUGCCAUCACUUCCCUGAGCAAAAGAGAUAUUUCCAAUUGCUUGACCAAAACAAGCAUUGAGUUCAUCCAUCAAUAACAGGUCCACAUCUCAACCCAAAUAUAAUGACGUCAAAGGAUAGGGGAAAAUGAGAAGGAAACUCUGGAGGGUAGAGGGAAGGAAAAGGAGAAAAGGACAAAGGAAGAAGGGAAAAGUAGAAAGGGAAGGAGGACAAUGAGAGGAAAUUUCGGAGAAUAGAGAAAAGGAGAAGGGAAAAGUAGAAAAGGAGAAAGGAAGGGAUAAGGGGAAGGAAGCUUAGGAGGGUAGGUAGAAGAAUGCAUAAAAAUAAAAAAUAAAAAAUAUAAAAGGAGAGUCGACUUCACCAUUAUGUCUACUAGCGGAAAGGAGCAACAUUGUAAAUUAUAUUUCGUAUAAUGAGAAAUUAGUAUUCCUACUUGAGGAUAUGACACAACUUGCCGAAUCUCGUUACGAUGCAGCAAGUUUAUAAUUGCACAACAAUUUGAUCAACCAUCUUAAGUUCAAGCAUACAUGUAUUAAGAUUCAAAUUUUUCCAGAUUUUCCUUAUGAAACUAACUGAACAUUACAAGUGCCACAUUAUUAUACGGUUCUAUCAAGUUUUAAUUAUUGUCUCAUAACCACAUCAUCUUUAGGACAAUAAUCUUGCGGUUGAAUAUAAAAACCUUCGACAUGGUGAUAUUGGAAACACUAGUUGGUGGGUUGAUUGGUAGAAAUGGUUCCAACACUUCAAGGAUGAGAAAUGAGUAUUGAGCAACGAUCAAAAUAUAUUGUAUUUUAUCACAAAAGAUGUGUGCAAUUAAAAGUGCAUUUUAUUACAAAAAAGAUGAGCAACGACCAAAAUAAUUGUUAUUUAUAAAAUCACACAUAAAACAAGAAGGAAUCUUUUCUUUUUCUUUUCAUCUCUGCCACUAGCGGCCGACCAUGACUUAAACCAUCUCCAACCCUUGGGCUAAAAGCCAAAUUUUUUAGCCCGGAAAAUUUAGCUUUUAACCUAGAAACAUCUUUCUACUCCAACCCUUCUACCCUAAAAUUUUAGCCCGGAAUUAUUAAAGAAUGAAAUUAGCCUAAAUUUUUUUCUUAAAUCAAUUUUUUUUUUAAAAUAAAUAUGUAGAUUAUUGUAAAUUAAUUUUAUGAACAUUUUAAUCUAAAAAAAUUUAAAUUCCGAUAAACAUUUCGCAUUUAGCCCGAGGAAAGCUGGGGGUAUUUGGCCCAGAAAUAGCAUUUAGCAUUUAGCCUAAAAUUUUAGCAUGGGUUGGAGAGUGUUUAGGGGGUAAUUUGGUAGGUAAUUUGGCUUUUAGCCGAAAUGGUCUUAAAGAAACGCUUUUUGGGUCAAUGGAUGGGAACGACCCAUUUUAUAAUAUUGUUUGUAAAUUUUUCUGGAAGUAGAUGGAAAAGACCGAUGUACAUAUUUCCCCUGCUCACAGACAUUUGCAUUGCACCUAGCAAACACCAGUUUUUUUGUUUGAACAUCGAUCCACAUCAAUGGCUCUUGUGAGAACAUCUCCAGGAACCUCCUCUGAUUCCAACACUUUUCGGAGUUAUCGCUACGACGUGUUCUUGAGCUUCAGAGGCGAAGAAACUCGCAAGACUUUUACCGACCACCUCUACACAGCCUUGAACAACGCAGGAUUUCUUACGUUCCGAGACGACGAUGAACUUGAGAGAGGAGAAUAUAUAAAGCCAGGACUGCAGAAAGCGAUCCAGCAGUCGCGAACUUCUGUUGUUGUGUUUUCGAAAGAUUACGCGUCAUCCAGGUGGUGUCUUGAUGAGCUUGUGCUGAUCCUUGAACGCAAGAGGACCACCUCGGACCAUGUAGUUUUACCAGUCUUCUACGAUGUCGAUCCGUCCCACGUGAGGAAGCAGACAGGAAGUGUUGGAAAAGCAUUUGCUAGAAGCCAGAAAAAUCAGUCGUCAGAAAAGGUGGAGGGAUGGAGGAAGGCACUUACAGAGAUUGCAGACCUAGCAGGCAUGGUCUUACAAAAUCAAGCUGAUGGGUAACUUUCAUUAUCUCCAUUUCUCAUUUCUUUCUUGGGUCAAUUUGAUGUAUGAUCCGUAGGGACCUAGAUUUGUAUGUAUUUAUUAAUUCAAUCUCAGUAGUGAAUAAUAAUCUCAAUUUAGGUCAACUUAUAGAAAUCACACUCAACUCAACUGAAGGAUUAGUCAUCUUCAAUGUUAAUCUACUGGUUUCCAGUUGCUUAAAUUUUUUUGAAAGCUGGUGUGGAAAAAAGUUUGGAUAAAUUAUGCGCUGUAUUCCUUUCUCUGUAACUUGAUAUGUGAUGUAUUUGUCUAUAGUUCGUAUAAAUUAUGCGCUGUAUUCCUUUCUCUUUUUUUUUUCAAUUUAAUUUUGUCAGCAGUCCUCUUUUUUUUCUUAUUUAAACAAAGGCAAUCAACAUAUGUUUUAGUUAUCUAAUUUCCCCAAUUCAUUUUUCAUUUUGUUUGCAAAUUCUUAGGUACGAGUCAAAGUUUAUCAAAAAAAUUGUUAAAGUGAUAGGAGACAAGUUAAGUCGCAUGCCAUUGAGUGUUGAACCAAAAUUGAUUGGAAUUCAAUCUCAAGCCGAGCGCAUCAAUUUGUGGUUCCAAGAUGGAUCAAGUGAUGUUGGUAUAUUUGUUGUGUAUGGCAUGUCUGGAAUAGGGAAGACAACCAUUGCAAAACAUGUUUACAAUUCAAACUUUGGAAGCUUUCAAGGAAGUAGUUUCAUUGAAAAUAUCAAAGAAACAGCAGAUCGACCAAAUGGCUUAGUUCAAAUACAAAUGCAACUUCUUUGUGAUAUUUUGAAUGGCAGAGAAGUGAAAAUACACAGUGUUAGUGAGGGAAUAAUUAAGAUUGAAAGGGCCAUAAGCUCUAAAAGAGUUCUACUUGUUCUUGAUGAUGUUGACCAUAUGGACCAAUUAGAUGCAAUCCUAAGGAUGAAAGAUCAGUUUUAUCCUGGAAGUAAGAUACUAAUAACAACUAGGUGUGAAAGGUUGUUAAAGGCAGAUCAAGUUACAGAGGUGCACAGAGUUCAAACUUUGGAUGACAAUGAAUCAUUAAAGCUUUUCAGUUGGCAUGCUUUUGGCCAGGACCAUCCCAUAGAAGAAUACAUGGAGCACUCAAAACAGCUAGUGCAACAUAGCGGCGGACUUCCAUUAGCUCUAAAAGUUUUGGGUUCUUCUUUAUCAGGAGGAAGUAUAGGUGUAUGGGAAAGUGCAUUGGAGAAGCUAAAAGUUAUUCCUGAUGGUGAAAUCAUGACUAAACUAAGAAUAAGCUAUGAAAGUUUAAAAGAUGACCAUGACCGGAAAUUAUUCCUCCACAUUGCUUGUUUCCUAAUAGGAAGGAACAAAAGCUACAUUGUUAGAAUAUUCGAUGGAUGUGAUUUCUAUACAAUCAUUGGCAUGCAAAAUCUCAUUGAUAGAUGCUUGGUGACACUUGAUGAAUACGGCAAGGUGAAAAUGCAUGACAUGAUUCGUGCUAUGGGAAGAGAAAUUGUUCGCCAAGAAUCAGAAGAGCCUGAGAAACGUAGUAGAUUAUGGCGCCAUAAGGAUUCUUUCCAAGUAUUGAGGAAAAAGAAUGUAAGAAACAUGCCUUUUAUGUCUAUAUAUGUAUUUCUUCUUGUGAAAAUUAUGCAUAAUAAUGUCUUUUUUUUUCCUUUAGGGUACAAAAAAAAUCCAAGGUCUUGUCCUGGAUAUGCGUAAUCAUCCUGCAAACAAUCCAAUAAACACAAAUGAGAUAGUCUUGGAAACCAAUGCAUUUGCAAAGAUGCGUAAUUUACAACUACUCCAUCUUAGUCAUGUACGACUGGAUGGAUGUUAUGCAGAUUUCCCUACAGGAUUAAGAUGGUUGUGUUGGCUUGAAUUUCCUUUGGAUUCUAUACCAAUUGAUUUUCCUUUGGAGAACGUAAUUGUUCUUGAAAUGCAAUACAGUAGCUUGAGACAAGUAUGCAAAGGAACAAAAGUAUGUUACUCUAUACAUUUCAAUUCAUUUUACUUAUUUUGUUAGUUUUUUAUUUGUUGAGUAACUCCAUGUGUUAAAAUGAAUUACUAUGUUUUCUUUAAUUCGAUGACUAAUUUUUUAUGUUAGAUACUUAUUUCAUUGUUCUUUUUUCUUUUCUUUUUUUUUUCCUCUAUUUCCACAGUUUCUUCCAUCGUUGAAGAUCCUUGACAUCAGCCAUUCUCAAUGCCUUAGUGAAACCAUUGACUUCUUUUCCCCAAUCUAGAGGAACUGAUUCUUGUAGAUUGCACAAGCCUGAAGAAUGUUCAUGAAUCCAUUGGAAACCUGGAGAGACUCGUGUACUUGAAUAUGAAGGAUUGCAAGAAUCUUAGGAUGCUUCCGAAGAACAUGUGCAUGCUUAAAUCACUUGAAACACUCAUUUUAUCUGGUUGCUCAAAUCUUGAUGAGUUUCCAGUGGAGAUGAUGAAGAAGAUGGAGUCUCUGAAAGUUCUUCAGACAGAUGGAAUUGCAAUAGGUGAAUUGUCGCCAGAAAGAUGUUUGAGUUCUUUUCCAUGCUCUUUAGUAGAGUUAAGUCUGAAGGGGUGCAAUCUUUCUGAUGAUGUCUUUCUUACGGAUUUAAGUAAUCUAUCCUACUUGAGAAGACUACAUUUGGAUGAGAAUCCAAUUUGCAGUCUGCCAGUUUUCAUCAAAGGUUUGAGGAGGAUCGAUGAACUCUCUUUCAAGGGUUGUGAUAGGCUCGAAUCCCUUGUGGGGUUGCCGGAAGUACACCAAAGGAUGAGUAUAGUCGGAUGCAUAUCAUUAAAAAAAAUAACUUUUCAUUCCCCUAAGCAAUUGUAUCCAAUAUAUGUGGGUGACAACUGGAAUCUUGUUGAGUGGGGGUGCUAUUACAAAUUAGAGCCUAUUGAUAGAGUUGAUGUGGAAAUGAUCAAACUUUUGGGCUUGUGCAACUUGGAAUCCAUGCCAGCUGUUCAAAUGCAUUAUCCAGACUCAGACAGCGAUCCAAAAGAGGUCCCCGUCCAGGUGCGCCUUUCUUUCUCUCUCUCAUAAGUCUUAAAUAUAUAAUGGGAAAGAAAUGACUGAGUAAUAUUGUGAUGACUGUGGCAAAUACAUAGGGACUCUAUGAAUGUGGUAUAUUCAGCACGUUUUUUGUUGAGAAUGAGGUCCCAGGCCGGUUCAGCUAUAAAAGUACCAAGUCCUCGAUAUCUUUUAUUGUCCCUUUACUACUUGCUAGUCACAGAAUUCGAGGCUUGAACAUCUUUGCUACCUAUGCAAAGGAAAAUUCAAAUAAUUAUUUUACUAGACCUGGCAUUGCUCCAAUAAUGAUCAAAGUGAGAAACAAGAGUAAGGGUCUGAAGUGGAUCUAUGGCCCAAUAUUCUAUGGUAUCCCAGGUGACGGAGAAGAUAUGAUAUGGUUGAGCCAUUGGAAGAUGGAGAAUAAAACAAUAUUACAAUGUGGAGAUGAAGUGGUGGUUUCGGUAAUAACCGGACCAUGUGACUUGUUUUGGGUAAAGGAGUUUGGUGUCGAGCUUGUGCCAGAGCACCAAGACAAGAUGAGUACCCAACACAACACCAAAUCAGAUCCUAAUUAUCCACUUGUUAUCGGUGGAGAUUUGGAGACGUGGAAGUGCAGACCGGGAAUAUACUUCCUUGGUGGUCGGACAAGUACAGAUACUGACGACAUUGAUAUCCUCACCAUGGACUCUGAUGAAGAAGACACAAGUAUGUUGUGUUGUUGUAUUGCAUUGAAUUAUACUCCAUCGAAACACUUCCAGGUGUGUCUGUAUUCAUUUCAAAAACGUUUCAAUAAAUUUUAUGUUAUUUAUAUGUUUUUCAGACGAAGAAGGGCAAGAGGAUGAAUCUGAUUACACAAUUGCAAAAACGAGGGCUGCUAGCAAUAACUGCAGUUUGAGAGGCUGGAAGGUGCACCUCACGGCUGUCGGCUUCUUUUUCGCGCUUGCUCUAGUAAGUUGGUCCUCCCACUCCCGAAAAAAGAAGCGACAGUCGUCCACAAGCCCACCAUGAGUUUGUAAUUUGACUUGAUAUGGAUAUAUCUUUGCAUUCCUUGCUCUCAAGAUGUUUUCUACCUUCAAAACUUCAGGUUCAGAGCUAAGCAUUCUUAACCGCUUGAGAUAUAAAUGCCCUUUGUAACUAGAUACCGAAGUUCAAAUGUGUUCAACUCCAUCAAAUAUAGCAUAAAAUACAUCCAGCAUUGAAUGCAUGUGUUUUGAACUACAAGAAAUCUUAUACAUUGGGUAGACCGUAUAGUGUAUCACAUUCAAAUGCAAUUAUUCAUGAAGAUGAAGUAUGAGAUGCCCUAAUUGUUUUACCAGAAGAUGCUGGAUCAAUUGUCUCAAAAAAUUAUUUCGGUAAUUGUUGGUAAAACUCAAAGUUAUCCAAAAGUUUGGGGUCAGCAUAAGCUUAUGCAUCAGCAUCAGAUUGUGUCUCCUAUCAGACUGAAGGAAUAAAAUUACUCAAUUUGUGCAAAUAAAAAUAAAAAUUUUAUAACACAUCAAAGAGAUAAUUAAAGGAGACCUCACAAGCUGUACAUCCAAGUGGCAAACAAAUCAAAAUUUUAAAUAAAGCUAAUGGCGCAUGAAGAGUAUUGAAACACUCAUAGCCCUCGCACACAGGUUGCAUGGUCUUUUCUUAUAACAAUAAAAGGAACAAAUUCAUCAAGUCACAUUUGGGCCAUUAAAAAAAGCUACAAAUUCAUCUUUCCAUGUCUUUAUCUCACAAACCCAUAAUGUGGCAAUCCUCCAUUAGAAAGGUAACGUACGUUUUGAAAAACGUGGCAAAUAUUGAAUGAGUAAUGACGCCUCUAAAAAUAAAAUUGAAUUAUUUGAAAGAAUCUCUCAUAAAAUAAAGUAGGGGUAAAGUACAAAAAAUUACUUCAAAUAUUAGUCUCAUGACAUUGUCAUACUUCAUCUUUUAAAAUUGACAAUAUCAUACCUCAUCUUUAGAAUUUGGUCAAUUUUAUACCAUCCUUUAGCCUGACCGUUAAUUUGUCAGUUAAAUACUGACGUGGCUUGAUCCAAACCCCACUUUCUAUUAAAAAAUUAAGAAAAUAUUAAAAACCCCACCCCCUAUCUCUCCUCCCUCAUCUUCUUCCCCUGCUCUGCCCAGAAACGAAACGAACAAAAAAAAAAAAAAAAAAAUCAAAACCCAAUUCGUCCCCACCCCACCCCACCCCCUCUAUCUCCUCCCCCAUCUUCUUCCCCUGCUGCCCAGAAACGAAACGAAAAAAAAAAAAAAAAACUAAAAAUCAAAACCCAGGUCGUCCCCACCCAAGACUUGGGCUCGCACACCCAUGGCUCGCCGGACCUGGGUUGGGUGUCCUCUGGGUGCCUCGGAGCUUCACGGAGACGAAAAGAGAAAGGGUUGACGCCAAUGAUGGUUUUGGUACCGUCGUCGGUGGGUGUGGGUGUGUAAAUGGGUGCGUGAGUGUAGAUCUGGGAGAGGGGUAUAGUCUGUGCGAGAGAGGGGGAGAAAGAGUGAGUGAGCUGAGAGAGAGGGAGAUGUUGGCAUGGGUGGGGAAGGGUGGGGGGUUGCACGGAGGGGGAACGGGAAGGGGUCGGGGUGGGGGGGGGGGAGAUGAGAAUGGGUUCUGGGAUGCAGAGAAGAGAGAAAGGCGAGAGAGAAGGGGAGAGAGAGAGAGGAGAGAGAGAGAGAUUUAAUAUAAAAAUAAAAAAGAGAGGAGAGAGAGAGAUUUAAUAUAUAUUUUUUUAAUUUUUGAAUAUUUAAUUAUUAAAAAUGUAUUUUAUUAUUUUUUAAUCCAAUUGGAUUGGAUUAGUGAGUGGAACACGUGUCGGGCCACGUCAGUAUUUAACAGAAAAAUUAACAGAAAAACUGACGGAGGUGCGACAUUGACACAAAUUCCUAAGAUAAGGUAUGACAUUGUCAAUUUUAAAAGAUGAGGUAUGAAAGUGUCGUGACACCAAUAGUUGAGGUAGUUUUUUUAUACUUUACCCAAUAAAGUAACGAAUAAUCAACAAAAGUAGCAGUACACCAAGUUGAACCUUUUUCAACGUUGAAAUGAAAUAUGAAAGGAGAUCAAGUUGAUAUUAGUCGUCACUUGUAUUUUAUUUUUUUGAAUAAACGAUAUUGUCUACAUUGAGGAGAAUGAGUUCGUUAAGCCUUACAAUGGGCUAGUAAUAAUAUAGUUCAAAUUCGUAUUUGGCGAGAAUCAAAUCUAAAGUUUCUCACUUACAAAUGAAGAGAAAUAUCAUUGGACUAUAACAUUAUUCAUCUACUUAAAAAUAAUGAAUAAUCAAGAAAAACAUUGCACGGUCCCCCUCUCGUCACUUACCACUAGUGGCCAUCACUUCCUUGAGCAAAAGAGAUCUUUCGAAUUGCUUGACCAAAAUAAGAAUUGACUUGGCUGUCCGUCCAUCAAUAACAGGUCCACAUCUCAACCCAAAUAUAAUGACGUCAAAUGAGAAGGAAACUCUGGGGGGUACAGGGAAGGAAAAUGAGAAAAAGGGAAAAGUUGAAGGGGAAGGAGGAAAAUGACAGGAAAUUUCGGAGAAUAGAAAAAAGGAGAAGGGAUAAGAAGGAAAAAUGGGAAGGAAGCUUAGGAGGGUAGAGAAAAAGAGGGAAAUGCAUAAAAAUAAAAAAUAAAAAAGGAAAGUCGCCUUCAUCAUUAUGCCUACUAACGGAAAGGAGCAACCGCAUUGUAAAUUAUAUUUCGUAUAAUGAGAAACCAGUAUUCCUACCCCGAGGAUAUAGACACAACUUGCCGAAUCUCGUUACUAUACAGCAAACAUAUAACUGCACAACAAUUCGAUCAACCACCUUAAGCUCAAUCAUAAAUGUACCAAGAUUCAAGUUUUUCCAAACUUUCCUUAUGAAAUUAACUGAACAUUACAAGUGCCAUAUUAUUAUGCGGUUCUAUCAAGUUUUAAUUUUUGUCUCAUAACCACAUCAUCUUUAGGACAAUCAAUAUUGCAGUUGAAUAUAUAAACCUUCGAUAUGGUGAUAUUGGAAACACUAGUUGGUGGGUUAAUUGGUAGAAAUUGUUCCAACAAUUCAAGGACGAGAAAUGAGUAUUGAGCAACGAUCAAAAUGUGUUGUAUUUUAUCACAAAAGAUGUUUGUGCAAUUAGAAGUACACUAGAAAGUUUGCCCGAUCGUUGCUGCGGGAAUGUCAAAUAUAUUGUAAGUAUUGUAUAUAAAUGUUACAUAAGGGAACAAAUAUGUUGCAAGAAUUGUGUGUAGAAUUUAUAAAACACGUACCAAGUAUUUGCAUAAAAUUUAAAAUAUAUAGUUGUUACUUGUUCAAAUUAUAACAGCUUGUACAAACAUGAGUUUGAAAUUCACCUGCCUUAACUUCUCCACACUUUACACACAGAGACCCUUAUCUUUUUUGGUGGUUUAAAAGCUUGCAAAUCACGGGAGGCUGUCCAUUUUGUUACAAAGAUGCAGAACCAAAAUAUAUAUUUUAUCAAUUUUCGAGAGCAUAAAUGGACAAAUUAAAUUGUAUGUAAAGAAUGUGUAGCAAAAUAUCAAAUAGCAAAAGAAAUCUCAACAUAACUCUACCACAACAAUAAGGAAUCUCAAAUAGAAAAAAGGGAGACUUUGGAUGCGGUCCCUAGUUAUGAAUAGUCUUUGACUGAAACCUUGUUGGUUUUCAAUUUUUGAUCCAAGUCCCUGAAAUUAAUUGAUAAUUUAUUUCUAUGUACGUUACUAUAUUUUUUAAAUUAAAAAUUAAAAUUUAUAGUUGUUUAUAGUAAUGAGAUUUUAAAUAAAAAACCAUAAUUUGUGGGAUUAAAAAUAUUAAAAUAUAAAUAUACUAUUGUGUGUGUGUGUGUAAACAUGGGUACAUUCAUAAAAAAUAACCAAAAAAUUAUUGUAUCAAAACAUGGAUACAUUCUUCUUCAAAAUGGGUACAUUUAGCAAAAAUAAAAAUGGGUACAAAUAAAUAAAAAAAAUAUGGGUACAAUACAAAUAAAACUUUAAAAAAUAUGGGCACAAAAAGAAAUUAAUAUAUGGGUACAAAUUAAAACUGAAAGGAAAAUUGGUACAAAUUAAAAAAGGGUUGCAAAUUAAAAAUGGGUACAAACUAAAAAUAAAAAUAUAUGAUAAAAAAUUUAGCCAUAAAUAUAAAUAUACUAAUUGUAAUAUUUUUAAUAUUAAAUGAAUAUAUUUAGAAAUAAAAAAUAUUUUAUUAUUGAAAUAAUUAAUGAUAUUAUUAAUACAAAGGAUCUUGAUCAAAAAUUGAAAAGUAAUAAGGUUUUAAUCAAUAGAGUAGUAAAAAUAAGGAUGAAAACCUAAUUACUCCUAGAAAAAAUCUACCAACUACCAUACGGAUGAUUUUUAAAUGAAUAAAAGCCUACCCUAUUAUGGAGAGCUUAUACCUUUCACUUGUUUACUGUUCUUGAUGAGUUGCAAAACACAACCAACAAAAGAAAAUCAAACAAACAUCAAAACAAAGGUCAUGCCUGAUAAGAAGGUUUCAUUUAUAAUUAUUUCUAUUUCUACAUAAAUACUAAUAAAUUAAGCUCCCAAUGAUCUGCAUAAACAUUUGCAAGGCCUUCUUUUCCAUCGAUGGAAAUGACUGAAACAGAUUCAACCCAUGUCUUAAUUACAUCAGUUAUGUGUUGAACCACCUAAAUCGACUCAAAUCACUGAAGAAAGGCAAUCAUCAGCGUUCAAGCAAGUGAAGCAAAAAAGAAAAGGUAGGACACAUGAACAUUGUGAUUUUGUACCAUCACCUGGACAGUCUUGCCAACGUAAGGGCAGAGGACAGAAAUGAAUGAACUCAAUUCCAAUACGCUAACCGUUAAAGGUAUAUACGUCAUGACAGUCUUAUGAAUAACCAAAUUAUCUGAAGUUCAAGAUAUUGGAUAGCUACAUACAGAUUUGGAGACAAAACCAACAAAUCCAGGCCAGUAUAGCUUGCGGUGAAUAAUGUUAUCAAUGUUCCAGCAGUGUCACCAAUCUUAAAAACUCCAGCUUGAAUUCCUCCAACAGUAGCUGGGCCAAUGACAACCUGCAAAAGAUACGAUAAUUAAAGUUAAUAUCGCCAGUUCAUUUUCCCAGGUUAGUGAAAUUAAGAUGACUUUGCAUCAAUCGUGUAACCUUGUUGUUUGCCCAUGCAUAUGCGAUCAAUUGCUUAGUGUCUGACUCAGGUACACCUUCAGCAAUGACCGCCACAACUCUAAUGGUUGGUUGCUUGAGAGCAGCCAUGGAAGAAGCGGCAGCACUGCAGAUAUAUCAACAUACAUUCAUCGUUAGGUACAACCAUAGAAGUUUCGCACUCCAAAACACUACUCAUAGAAUAAUCACUGACCUUCUGUACGAAGCAAAGUUGAUUAAGACAUCAGCAGUAGGCUGUGCAGUGCGUGAUGCUUCAAUGUUGCAAUAGUUAUCAACCCAAAGGUCAGACAAUCUCGAAACAACAGAUCAAGAAUGGUAAUCUGACUAAUAACAUGAUUUGAAUAUAUUAGAUAUGGAAAAUUAAGAUUAACCAAGCAUACAUGCAUAUACAUAAUUAUACAAAAGGUGGCUUGCGGCAACGAAAGACGAAAUCUAGGAAGAGGAUGAGAGAAUGGCAACUUACUUUUAAGUGCAUUGGUAUGGCGAUUUCCUUUUGACCGAAAAAUAGCUUCUGAAAUCCCUCAGAACCAGGGUUAAUGAUUCCACCAACUGACGGUGUCUCCCUCCGUAUUACAAACCUCAGUUAUUACAUUUACAUCUUUUUCAAAAACUAAAAACUAUAAGUAAGAUCAAGUUCGAAGUAGGAAAUGAUACACACCGCAAAGGACGUCAAAAUCGAGUUAGAAGCACCUGAUAUAUCUUGCCAGUGGUAAUGUUGUUAUCCCUAGGUCCAAAUCAAUCUACAAUUACAAUUAAAGUUUAAACAAACUCAGCAGCAUAAAGUUUAAAGAUAAGACUCACACUCAACAUGAUACCAAGAUAGAAUCCAAAAAUAAAUUAAAGAUAUGACUAAAAUUAUUUGUUCUAAUCGAACAUAUUUCCUAGUUUUCUUAUCCAAUUAUACAAUUGCAGUUCCUAAAACAAAAAAUAAUUAAAAAGUAAUUUGCAGAAAGAAAAUUAGAAAAUUCGAACUUGACAACAAUCUACCUUAAGAAACCCCAUGACCGAGUAACAGCAACAACAACAUUGAGACAUAAUUUGGUGAAUAUAUAUGGUGGACAAAUUUAACAACUCUAGUACUGUUAACAAAGCUUCAACCAACAACAACAACAACAACAACAACAAAGCCUUUUCCCACUAAGUGGGGUCGGCUAUAUGAAUCCUAGAACGCCAUUGCGCUCGGUUUGUGUCAUGUCCUCCGUUAGAUCCAAGUACUCGAAGUCUUUUCUUAGAGUCUCUUCCAAAGUUUUCCUAGGUCUUCCUCUACCCCUUCGGCCCUGAACCUCUGUCCCGUAGUCACAUCUUCAACCAAUACAACAUAAAUCAAAUCAAUAUAUACCUGCAUAUCCUGAGUCCGAAUUGUACCCUCGUGCCCUGCAAUGCCUUGGUGAGCGACUCCUGCUUAAAAUCCAAACACACAUUUAACUUUAACAACACACAAAAAAUCAAAACUCUCAUCAUUAGAAAACCAAAAGGAAAACUUGAAAUUAUAUACCUGAAGCACAAAUGGUUUGCAAACGCAUAUACAAAAUUUUCAAAAAACAAAGAUCACCGUUUCCUGAAAAUGAAAAGAAAAGCAAAUCAUAGAGCCAAACCGAGAAUCCGAACACAGAAAUAAAAUCCCCAAAGUUAUGAAAACAAAAUUUAAAUGCAACACACAUCUGCAAACGGAAGACCACCCCAAAAAAAAUUAAAUUUUGUUCGACAAAAAGCCCAAAAGAAAAGGUAGAUUUUAUAUACACACCUUGAACACAAAGGGCUUGCAAAGUUGCAUUGAGAGCCCCAAAAUUGGGACAUGAGCGUUUCCUGAAACCAAAUAAGCGCACAUAUCAAACCCCCAAAAUGAAAAAAUAGAAAAUUUAAAGACAAAAUCCAUCUGCAAAUCGAAAACCACCGAAAAAAAUUAAAUCAGAUACACUGGAAAAAACGCAAAACUCACUGGAACAACACUGGCGUGGAAGAGAAAAAAAACUAGGUUCGAAAAUAAGCAGAAGGUGAGAAUGGAGAAAGAGAGAAGCCAGCGGAAAGAAAAAGCUAAGAGCACUAUUCGAUCCGCCAUAUUAAACAGUAACUGCCUUAAAUGAACUUAAAUGAAUAGUAAUUACCAUUAAUGAACGGUAAUUGUCAUUUACAUCUCCACCGUUGGAACCAUCUCCCUAGCAAUAAGCAAUUAAAAUAAUAAUUUUUUUUGUUUGUUUAAAUAAUAAAAAAAAACCCCUCCCUCUCUCUCUAUAACACAAAAAAAAUAAAAAAUUGCAAAGCCCUCGGGCCACAGGCCCGUCGACUCCCUACCCCCCUUCGCUCGGGUUCCCACCAUCGCUCGGCCUCCACACGGCUGGACCUCUCUCCAUCGGGCCUCCGGCCCCUUCUUCUCCACUGUCCCCCGAUGGGUGGAGUUGCUCUAAGAAGAGGUUGGAAACGGAAUAAUAGAAAAGCAUAAAUGAGUACGAAAACACGAAUCUUUGUGUUUUUACGGGAGUAGUAGAAAAUAUUAUUUUUUAAGUUAUAAACUUUAUAAUACACAUAUCUUAUUAUGUAUAUAGUUACACGUGGUGUAAUAUUCCGUGUAACGAUCAUACUGAAAAAUCUCUUGUUAAAUUUAGGGAUGUGAUAUCUACACAUCUUAUUUUACUUCUCACACACCUUUGUAAUUUUCGGCCGUCGGAUCGGAUGAAUUGAAAAAGAUCAGCAAACAAAAAAUAUUAAGGGUGUGUGAGAAGUAAAAUAGGGUGCAUCGAUAGCACAUUUCUAAAUAUUUACAUAGCGACACGUGGUGUACCAUCCCGUGUGACGAUCACACUGAAAAAUCUCUUGUUAAAUUUAGGGGUGUGAUAUCCACACACCCCAUUUUACUUCUCAUACACCUUCUUAAUUUUCGACCAUCAGAUCGGAUGAAUUAAAAAAUAUCAACUAACAAAAAUUAUUAAAGAUGUGAUAAGUAAAAUAGAGUGCGGAUACCUAAAUUUAACAAGAGAUCACAUUUUUCAAUAUUUUUUUGGUCUUCCCACCGUCUACACAUGGGUUUAAAAAAUUAAAAAAGUAUAAAAUUUUUAUUUUUUGUUGUGCCACAAACCAUGUGGCCAGGUUUUAAUCAUUUUUUAAUAAUUUUUUUGUCCUCCCACCAGUUACACAUGGGUUUAAAAAAAGGAUUUGGAUUGUCUGCCCUCCUAGUUGUGAUGCCCUUCUAUUUUGUGCGGUCACGGUUAAAUCAAGUCAAUAUUUUAUAUUUUAAUUAUUUUUUGUCUUAUUAUCUCAUUAAAAAAUUAAUAUAAAAUAUUAACGUAGCUUAACCGUGACCGCACAAAAUAGGAGCGCAUAGAAGGGCACCACAACUAGAAGGGCAGACAAUCCAAGUCCUUAAAAAAAUUUAAGAAUGUAUAAAGUUUUUUGUUUGUUGUGUCACAAACCACGUGGACCGGUUUUAACCACAUUUGUUUAAUAUUUGUUUGUCUGCCCACCGGCUAUAUGUGACUUAAAGAAAUGUUUUUUGGGUCAAUGGAUGGGAACGACCCAUUUUAUAAUUGUUUGUAAAUUUUUCUGGAAGUAGAUGGAAAGGACCCAAUUACAUAUUUCCCCUGCUCACAGACAUUUGCAUUGCACCUAGCAAACACCAGUUUUUUGUUUGAACAUCGAUCCCCUCAUCAAUGGCUCUUGUGAGAACAUAUCCAAGAAUCUCCUCUAAUUCCAACACUUUUCGGAGUUAUCGCUACGACGUGUUCUUGAGCUUCAGAGGCGAAGAAACUCGCAAGACUUUUACCGACCACCUCUACACAGCUUUGAACAACGCAGGAUUUCUUACGUUCCGAGACGACGAUGAACUUGAGAGAGGAGAAGAUAUAAAGCCAGGACUGCAGAAAGCGAUCCAGCAGUCACGAACUUCUAUUGUCGUGUUUUCGAAAGAUUACGCGUCAUCCAGGUGGUGUCUUGAUGAGCUUGUGCUGAUCCUUGAACGCAAGAGGACCACCUCGGACCAUGUAAUUUUACCAGUCUUCUACGAUGUCGAUCCAUCCCACGUGAGGAAGCAGACAGGAAGUGUUGGAAAAGCAUUUGCUAGAAGCCAGAAACAUCAGUCGCUGGAAAAGGUGGAGGGAUGGAGGACGGCACUUGCAGAGAUUGCAGACCUAGCAGGCAUGGUCUUACAAAAUCAAGCAUAUGGGUAACUUUCAUUAUCUCCAUUUCUCUUCUCUUUCUUGGGUCAAUUUGAUGUAUGAUCCGUAGUGACAUAGAUUUUUAUAUAUUUAUUAAUUCAAUCUCAGUAGUGAAUAAUAAUUCCAAUUUAGGUCAACUUAAAGAAAUCACACUCAACUCAACUUAAGGAUUAGUCAUUUUCCAUGUUAUCUACUGGUUUCCAGUUGCUUAAUUUUUUUUGAAAGCUGGUGUGGAAAAAAGUUAGGAUGUGAUCUGUGAUGUAUUUGUCUAUAGUUCGUAUAAAUUAUGCGUUGUAUUCCUUUUUUUUUUCAAAUUAAUUUUGUCAGCAGUCCUAUUUUUUUUCUUAUUUAAACAAAGGCAAUCAACAUAUGUUUUAAUUAUCUAAUUUCCCCAAUUCAUUUUUCAUUUUUCAUUUUGUUUGCAAAUUCUUAGGUACGAGUCAAAGUUUAUCAAAAAAAUUGUUAAAGUGAUAGGAGACAAGUUAAGUCGCACACCAUUGAGUGUUGAACCAAAAUUGAUCGGAAUUCAAUCUCAAGCCGAACGCAUCAAUUUAUGGUUACAAGAUGGAUCAAGUGAUGUUGGUAUAUUUGUUGUGUAUGGCAUGUCUGGAAUAGGGAAGACAACCAUUGCAAAACAUGUUUACAAUUCAAACUUUAGAAGCUUUGAAGGAAGUAGUUUCAUUGAAAAUAUCAAAGAAACAGCAGAUCGACCAAAUGGCUUAGUUCAAAUACAAAUGCAACUUCUUUGUGAUAUUUUGAACGGCAAAGAAGUGAAAAUACACUGUGUUAGUCAGGGAAUAAUUAAGAUUGAAAGGGCCGUAAGCUCUAGAAGAGUUCUACUUGUUCUUGAUGAUGUCGACCAAAUGGACCAAUUGGAUGCAAUCCUAAGGAUGAAAGAUCAGUUUUAUCCAGGAAGUAAGAUACUAAUAACAACUAGGCGUGAAAGGUUGCUAAAGGCAGAUCAAGUUACAGAGGUGCACAAUGUUCAAACUUUGGAUUACAAUGAAUCAUUAAAGCUUUUUAGUUGGCAUGCUUUUGGCCAGGACCAUCCCAUAGAAGAAUACACGGAGCACUCAAAACAGUUAGUGCAACAUAGCGGCGGACUUCCAUUAGCUCUAAAAGUUUUGGGUUCUUCUUUAUCAGGGGAAAGUAUAGGUGUAUGGGAAAGUGCAUUGGAGAAGCUAAAAGUUAUUCCUGAUGGUGAAAUCAUGAAUAAACUAAGAAUAAGCUAUGAAAGUUUAAAAGAUGACCAUGAUCGGAAAUUAUUCCUCCACAUUGCUUGUUUCCUAAUAGGAAGGAACAAAAGCUACAUUGUUAGAAUAUUGGAUGGAUGUGAUUUCUAUACAAUCAUUGGCAUUCAAAAUCUCAUUGAUAGAUGCUUGGUGACACUUGAUGAACACGACAAGGUGAAAAUGCAUGACAUGAUUCGUGCUAUGGGAAGAGAAAUUGUUCGUCAAGAAUCAGAAGAGCCUGAGAAACGUAGUAGAUUAUGGCGCGAUAAGGAUUCUUUCCAAGUAUUGAAGAAAAAGAAUGUAAGAAACAUGCCUUUUAUGUCUAUAUUUGUAUUUCAUCUUGUGAAAAUUAUGCAUAUUAAUGUCUCUUUUUUUUUCCUUUAGGGUACAAAAAAAAUCCAAGGUCUUGUCCUGGAUAUGCGUAACCAUCCUGCAAACAAUCCAAUAAACACAAAUGAGAUAGUCUUGGAAACCAAUGCAUUUGCAAGGAUGUCCAAUUUACAACUACUCCAUCUUAGUCAUGUACGACUGGAUGGAUGUUAUGCAGAUUUCCCUACAGGAUUAAGAUGGUUGUGUUGGCUUGAAUUUCCUUUGGAUUCUAUGCCAAUUGAUUUUCCUUUGGAGAACGUAAUUGUUCUUGAAAUGCAAUACAGUAGCUUGAGACAAGUAUGCAAAGGAACAAAAGUAUGUUACUCCAUGCAUUUCAAUUCAUUUUCCUUAUUUUGUUAGUUUUCUAUUUGUUGACUAACUCCAUGUGUUAAAAUGAACUACUAUGUUUUCUUUAAUUCGAUGACUAAUUUCUUAUAUUAGAUACUUAUUUCAUUGUUCUUUUUUCUUUUUUUAUUUUUUUUCUUCCUCUGUUUCCACAGUUUCUUCCAUCGUUGAAGAUCCUUGACGUCAGCCAUUCUCAUGGCCUUAGUGAAACCAUUGACUUCUCACUUUUCCCCAAUCUAGAGGAACUGAUUCUUGUAGAUUGCACAAGCCUAAAGAAUGUUCACGAAUCCAUUGGAAACAUGGAGAGACUUGUGUACUUGAAUAUGAAGGAUUGCAAGAAUCUUAGUAAGCUUCCGAAGAACAUGUGCAUGCUUAAAUCACUUGAAACACUCAUUUUAUCAAGUUGCUCAAAUCUUGAUGAGUUUCCACAGUUUCUUCCAUCGUUGAAGAUCCUUGACGUCAGCCAUUCUCAUGUUCUUAAUGAAAACAUUGACUUCUCACUUUUCCCCAAUCUAGAGGAACUGAUUCUUAUAGAUUGCACAAGCCUGAAGAAUGUUCAUGAAUCCAUUGGAAACCUGGAGAGACUCGUGUACUUGAAUAUGAAGGAUUGCAAGAAUCUUAGGAUGCUUCCGAAGAACAUAUGCAUGCUUAAAUCACUUGAAACACUCAUUUUAUCUGGUUGCUCAAAUCUUGAUGAGUUUCCAGUGGAGAUGAUGAAGAAGAUGGAGUCUCUGAAAGUUCUCGAGACAGAUGGAAUUCCAAUAAGUGAAUUGGGGCCAGAAAGAAGUUCAACUAUCUUGAGUUCUUUUCCAUGCUCUUUGGUAGAGUUAAGUCUGAAGGGGUGCAAUCUUUCUGAUGAUGUUAUUCCUCCAGAUUUAAGUAAUCUAUCCCACUUGCGAAGACUACAUUUAGAUAAUAAUCCAAUUUGCAGUCUGCCAGGUUUCAUCAAAGGUUUGAGGAGGAUCGAUGAACUCUCUUUUUGGUGUUGUGAUAGGCUCGAAUCGCUUGUGGGGUUGCCAGAAGUACACAAAUGGAUAAGUAUAAUCGGAUGCAUAUCAUUAAAAAAAAUAACUUUUCAUUCCCCUGAGAGAUUGUGUCCAAUACAUUUGGGUUACAACAGGAAUCUUGUUGAGUGGGAAUGCAAUUACAAAAUAGAGCCUAUUGAUAGAGUUGAUGUGGAAAUGAUCAAACUUUUGGGCUUGUGCAACUUGGAAUCCAUGCCAGCUGUUCGAAUGCGUUAUCCACACUCACACAGGGAUCCAAAAGAGGUCCCCGUCCAGGUGCGCCUCUCUUUCUCUCUCUCAUAAGUCUUAAAUAUAUAAUGGGAAAGAAAUGACUGAGUAAUGUUGUGAUGGCUGUGGUAACUACAUAGGGACUGUAUCAACGUGGUAUAUUCAGCACGUUUUUUGUUGGGAAUGAGGUUCCAGGCCGGUUCAGCUAUAUAAGUACCAAGUCCUCGAUAACUUUUAUUGUCCCUUUACUACUUGCUAGUCAUAGAAUUCGAGGCUUGAACAUAUUUGCUACCUAUGCAAAGGAAAAUUCAAAUAAUUAUUCUACUAGACCUAGUAUUGGUCCAAUAAUGAUCAAAGUGAGAAACAAGAGUAAGGGUCAGAAGUGGAUCUAUGCCCCAGAGUUCUAUGGAAUUCCAGGUGAUGGAGAAAAUAUGAUAUGGUUAAGCCAUUGGAAGAUGGAGAAUAAAACAAUAUUACAAUGUGGAGAUGAAGUGGUGGUUUCUGUAAUAACUGGACCACGUGACUUGUUUUGGGUAAAGGAGUUUGGUGUCGAGCUUGUGCAAGAGCACCAAGACAAGAUAAGUACCCAACACAACACCAAAUCAGAUCCUAAUUAUCCACUUGUUAUCGGUGGAGAUUUAAAGACGUGGAAGUGCAGACCGGGGAUAUACUUCCUUGGUCGUUGGACAAGAGAAGAUACUGACGACAUUGAUAUCCUCACGAUGGACUCUGAUGAAGAAGACACAAGUAUGUUGUGUUGUUGUAUUGCAUUGAAUUAUACUCCAUCCAAACACUUCCAUGUGUGUCUGUAUUCAUUUCAAAAACAUUUCCAAUAAAUUUUAUGUUAUUUGUAUGUUUUACAGACAAAGAAGGGCAAGAAGAUGAACCUGAUUACACAAUUGCAAAGAUGAGGACUGCUAGCAAUAACUGCAGCCUAAGAGGUUGGAAGGUGCGCCUCACAGCUGUCGGCUUCUUUUUCACGCUUGCUCUAGUAGGUUGGUCCUCCAUCUCCCAAAAAAAGAAGCGACACUCGUCCACAAGCCCACCAGGAAUUUGUAAUUUGACUUGAUAUAGAUAUAUCUUUGCAUUCCUUGCUCUCAAGAUGUUUUCUACCUUCAAAAUUUCAGGUUCAGAGGUAAGCGCUUUAACCGCUUGAGAUAUAAAAGCCCAUUGCAACUAGAUACUGAAGUUCAAAUGUGUUCAACGCCAUCAAAUAUAGCAUAAAAUACAUCCAGCAUUAGCGAUACUAGCAGAUUAGCUGUAAAUAAGUAAAACAAAAAAAUGCUUCUACACAUGGUAAGGGAAGGACUUUGACUGACAUAGGUAUCUUUAGCAAUAACGGGCAAGAUUUUUUUUUGUUGGGAGGGGUGGGGAUUAUUUCGACACCGGGGAAAACAAAAACAUCCUAUCUGCUUAUAAAUGACAAAGUUACAAAUCUUAAUUGUCGUUUACAACAAAAUCAUUCUUAAAGACUCGGCUCCCCAUUGAAAUUGUGUAAAUUGCAUAAAUAUCAAUACAACAGAUAUUAGAUAGAAUAAUAUAUAUCAAAUAAAUUAACGACAGGCAAUUUCUUAGCCUGAGAUUCAAGGACUUCACAGCUGGUUCAGCCUUGCAUCGCUACUACGCUACUCCAGUCAACUGAUUUAAAAGAGUACCCUGUUUCUCAGCGCAACAUGCACAAAAUCAACACCGGGUAGAAACUAAAAACCACCACCAAAUAAAAGUGAAUUCGACAACGUCAACGUAUUUACUUACCAAAGAUACUACAGGGACAGGUACCGAACGGCGGUGAUUACGAUACUGCUUUCUAUGCUUUCGGACAGAUUCUAACUCCUUGAGAACUCGAUCUAGUAUUACAGGCAUUUUUACAGGCAAAUCAAUUUCAAGGAAGUAUAGGAGGAACCCAUAAUCUUCUCAUGAACAUUGUACCUGCAAAAGCAUAAUGCAAUAAGCAUUCAACAAUCUGACCUAGUUUGCUCAACAGAUGCUCUAAGAUAUUCCAAAACAAAGUCACAGCAAUUUCACAUAGGAUACCAGGUGGGGAGGAUACAAUCAUUAACAAUUUCAAAAGCUUUAAAUGCAAAAAAUCAGUGAACAUAAUCAAAUCCAAUACGUCAAUUUUGGCCUAGAUUGAAAUGAAAAAAAACAAGGAAAUGCUUUGUGUAUCGAUUUGUUUAUGAAGGAAAUAAAACAUAUUUCAUGGAAAUAAAACCUGUGGUUACUUUUGUCUUCCUCUGCCAUUUGUCUAUCGAUUUGUUUCUGAAAGUGGCUAUUCUACAACAUACAGCAUGACAGGUCUUAGUUAGACCAAGUAACCGGCAUGGAAAUGCUUUCUGAAGCAAGAAUAUGAACUCAAGAGCUUUGUGCCAGAGAGACUUCAGAAAAAUGAAAAAAACAACAUAGAAUAUACAACAACAACAACAACAACAAAGCCUUUUCCCACUAAGUGGGGUCGGCUAUAUGAAUCCUAGAACGCCAUUGCGCUCGGUUUUUGUGUCAUGUCCUCCGUUAGAUCCAAGUACUCAAGUCUUUUCUUAGGGUCUCUUCCAAAUUUUUCCUAGGUCUUCCUCUACCCCUUCGGCCCUGAACCUCUGUCCCGUAGUCAUUUUCGAACCGGAGCGUCAGUAGGCCUUCUUUGCACAUGUCCAAACCACCGGAACCGAUUUUCUCUCAUAUUUCCUUCAAUUUUGACUACUCCUACUUUACCUCGAAUAUCCUCAUUCCCAAUCUUAUCCUUUAUCGUGUGCCCAUACAUCCCACGAAGCAUCCUCAUCUCCGCUACACCCAUUUUGUGUACGUGUUGAUGCCUCACCGCCCAACAUUCUGUGCCAUACAACAUCACUGGCCUUAUUGUCGUCCUAUAAAAUUUUCCCUUGAGCUUCAAUGGCCUACGACGGUCACACAACACGCCGGAUGCACUCUUACACUUCAUCCAUCCAGCUUGUAUUCUAUGGUUGAGAUCUCCAUCUAAUUCUCUGUUCUCUUGCAAGAUAGAUCCUAGGUAGCGAAAACGGUCACUUUUUGUGAUCUUCGCUAGAUUGCUCCGGUCAUUAGUGUGGAUAAGUAUAUAAAUGGAUAGAAUUAGGAAAGCAAACACAAGAUGUACGUGGUUCACCCAAAUUGGCUACGUCCACGGAAUAGAGGAGUUCUCAUUAAUUGUGAAUGGUUUACACAAGUACAUAGGUUCAAGCUCUCCUUUAGUGAGUACAAGUGAAUGAUUUAGUACAAAUGACAUUAGGAAAUAUUGUGGGAGAAUGAUCUCGUAACCACGAAACUUCUAAGUACCGGAGUGUGGUAUCGUCUUGACUUGCCUUAUCUGUCUCAUAGGUAGAUGUGGCAUCUUCUCUGGAAGUACUCUUCCUCCAUCCAGGGGUGGUAUCUGUAACUGGUGGAGAUGCACAAGGUAAUGUAUCAAUUUCACUUGAAGCUUACUUGUAGUUUCAGGCUUGGUCAAGCGCGAUACAAACCAUGUAGUAGGAGUCCCCCAAGUCGCCGGGUUAGGGGAUCUGCUGAAAGAGGUGACAGACAAGGUAAGCAAUCAGAGCUCCAGCUGAUUGUUCAUAUUCUCCCUAUCUUGCAGGCAGCAUGAAGGAUAAAGAGAAGAAAAAUGAGAAGAGAUGAUAUGGGAUACUUUUGCUUUUGAAGAAGUAACUUUCCACAGGCUUAUUCUUGAACCGGGCUGCAGGGUUUUCUGGUUUCCUCCAGAGUAUAAGGCCGACUGAAGAAUUUGAGGGUGAAAACAAGUUCAUCAAAUCUAGAGUACGUUCGACCCUGCUGAUAUGGGAUACUUUUGCUUUUGACAGAGUAGUGGAUGUAUCGGCACGUGUGCUGUUACGCUUGUCUCCACAUGCUUCAUUGUAUCCUUCUCACUUGCCCUAUCUGUUCCUCAGGCAGAUCCGGUAUCUUCCCUGGAAGCAUAAGAUGUUGAAGAUGAGUACUCGAGAGCAAUGCCAGGUAAGUAAUCAGGUAAGGGGUUCCAGGCAGUCAGUUCCUGGCUGGAAGCUUGAUUCCAAGUGCUGACUGAUUGCUCUCGUUCUCCUUGUCUUGCAGGUAAGAACAAGGCCAAAGGAAAAGACAGGGAAAAAGCAUGAUAUGGGAUACUCUUACUUUUAACCCUAAUGAUAAGAACAAGGCCAAAGGAAAAGACAGGGAAAAAGCAUGAUAUGGGAUACUCUUACUUUUAACCCUGAUGAUAUGAGAUAUUCUUGCUCUAGUAUAGCUUGUUUACAGAGGUAUUAUCGAGGGGAAAUAAAGCUGAAUAUUUCGAAAGGCUUCGUUGGGAGUGCCCUCUCAGAUAAGAGAAAGGGUUGAGCAUUUUUGCAAGUCUGCCUGUCCGUUAGGGAUGGAGGUCGACAUAUAUAGGAGUCUCCCUAACAUCAAGUAAUAAUGUUAUUCCUUUACCCUGCUUGGUCAUAACACGGUAGUGGGAGCUGCCAGCUUCACAUGUUUUAACUAUGUCAGAGCACUUUGAAAAAGUGGUCUGUGGUAUCUAGAAAGCUGAUGUUGCGUGUGAAGAUUACAGACAAGCUUUAUCCAAGGAGAUCCAGCUUUUGAAGUUGGGAAAGUGGUGCCUCUUCGGUUUUCGAACAAGCAAUCCUGUCGGGGAUCUGGCUCUCGAGAUUCGGAGAACGAUGCCUCUUCGAUUUUUGAGAAAGCGAUCCUGCUGGGGGUCUGGCUCUCGAGAUUCAGAGAGCGGUGUCUCUUCGAUUUUUGAGAAAGUAAUCAUGUUGGGAGUCUGGCUCUCGAGAUUCGGAGGGCGGUGCCUCUUCGAUUUUGGAGCAAGCAAUCUUGUUAGGAGUGUUUUCUCGAAUGUGAGUAAAGGUUGGGCAUGUUUGCUAGUCUACCUUGCCACGAAGCACAGAGGUUGACACACAGGGACUUUCCAAUUAUCCAGCAGUGGUACUGUUCCUUUACCCUCUCUUCGAUUUUUGAGAAAGUAAUCAUGUUGGGAGUCUGGCUCUCGAGAUUCGGAGGGCGGUGCCUCUUCGAUUUUGGAGCAAGCAAUCUUGUUGGGAGUGUUUUCUCGAAUGUGAGUAAAGGUUGGGCAUGUUUGCUAGUCUACCUUGCCACGAAGCACAAAGGUUGACACACAUGGACUUUCCAAUUAUCCAGCAGUGGUACUGUUCCUUUACCCUCUCUUCGAUUUUUGAGAAAGUAAUCAUGUUGGGAGUCUGGCUCUCGAGAUUCGGAGGGCGGUGCCUCUUCGAUUUUGGAGCAAGCAAUCCUGUUGGAAGUGUUUUCUUGAAUGUGAGUAAAGGUUGGCAUGUUUGCUAGACUACCUUGCCACGAAGCACAGAGGUUGACACACCGGGACUUUCCAAUUAUCCAGCAGUGGUACUGUUCCUUUACCCUUGUGGGUAAUAAUAUGGUAGCUAGACCUUCAAAAUUUGUGUCUAAACUUUGUUAGUGUUGUUUCUUUGUAAUUCUUUUACCCUUCUUGGUCAGAGCGAUGUAGCGGGAGCUGCAAGCUUCACGUGUCUCAACUUUGUCAGAGAACUUUGGCAAAGUUAUCUGUGGUACCCAUGAGUUACUGUUGCGUAUGGGAAGUGGGUGAUUGAACAGUACAAUUCAUGUGCUUUCUACUUCGCCAGAAAUCUUCGACAGAAUGCCCAUAAUUUCCGCAAAGCUGAGUGUGCGUGUGACAGGUGCUGACAAGGCUGGAAAAGUAUGUGCCUCUUCGAUUUCUAAGAUCGGCCUUCGUGGUCUCUUAGCAGCCCAGCUUUUGAGAAAGCAAGCCUCUUCGAUUUCUGAUAUCGGCCUUCGUGGUCUUUGAGCAGCCCAGCUUUUGAGAAAGCAAACGCCUCUUCGAUUUCUGAGAUCGACCCUCGUGGUCUCUGAGCAGCCCAGCUUUUGAGAAAGCAAACGCCUCUUUGAUUUCUGAGCAGGCGCCUCUUCGAUUUCUGAAGCUUCGUCGAGUGCAGAUUUUUAUAGGGGCUGACAUUAAGUUCCAAAGCACACUUGAAUAUCCACCAGUAGAAGCUCCAUUCUUGUACUUCUAAGAUCUUGAUUUGUCCGACCUCUUCUCUCUUCAACACCUUUGAAAAUGUCUGGCCCCUCCGACCGUCGUUUUGACUUGAACCUUGUUGAAGAGGCAGCCCCGCCUUCUCCAGACAACAUAUGGCGCCCAUCCUUCGUCUCCCCUACUGGUCCUCUUACCGUUGGGGAUUCCGUGAUGAAGAAUGGUAUGACCGCUGCGGUAGUGGCCAGGAACCUUCUCACUCCCAAAGAUAACAGACUACUUUCCAAACGGUUUGAUGAGUUGGCUGUUAAGGAUUCUCUGGCUCUCAGUGUUCAGUGUGCAGGUUCUGUGUCUAAUAUGGCCCAACGCCUAUUUGCUCGAACCCGCCAAGUUGAAUCAUUGGCGGUUGAAGUGAUGAGUCUUAAACAGGAGAUUAGAGGGCUCAAGCAUGAGAAUAAACAGUUGCACCGGCUCGCACAUGACUAUGCUACAAACAUGAAGAUGAAGCUUGACCAGAUGAAGGAAUCUGAUGGUCAGGUUUUACUUGAUCAUCAGAGAUUUGUGGGUUUGUUCCAAAGGCAUUUAUUGCCUUCGUCUUCUGGGGCUGUACCGCGUAAUGAAGCUCCAAAUGAUCAACCUCUGAUGCCUUCUCCUUCUAGGGUUUUGUCCAGUACUGAGGCUCCGAAUGAUCCCCCUCCGGUGCCUUCUCUUUCUGGGGCUCUACCGACUGUUGAGACUUCUCCUAAGCAACCUUUGUGAAGGCUCCCUCUUGUUUGUUUAUUUUGACUCAAGUAUAUGUACAUAUUUGUAACUUAUCGGGGAUAUCAAUAAAUAAGCUUUCCUUCAUUUCAACGUAUUGUGUUAAAUACACCAAAGCCUUCUUCGCUAAGUUCUUUGAAUUUUCUUUUGUUGAAGCUUGUAUGUUGAAGCUUUGUGAGUGGAGCAUGUAGGUUGAGGUAGUGUUCCCUUAAUUUCCUGAGUGAGGAAAACUUCUCGGUUGGAGACUUAGAAAAUCCAAGUCACUGAGUGGGAUCGGCUAUAUGAAUCUUAGAACGCCAUUGUGUUCUGUCCUGUGUCAUGUCCUCCGUUAGAUCCAAGUACUCUAAGUCUUUUCUUAGGGUCUCUUCCAAAGUUUUCCUAGGUCUUCCUCUACCCCUUCGGCCCUGAACCUUUGUCCUAUAGUCGCAUCUUCUAAUCGGAGCGUCAGUAGGCCUUCUUUGCACAUGUCCAAACCACCGUAACCGAUUUUCUCUCAUCUUUCCUUCAAUUUCGGCUACUCCUACUUUACCCCGGAUAUCCUCAUUCCUAAUCUUAUCCUUUCUCGUGUGCCCACACAUCCAACGAAGCAUCCUCAUCUCCGCUACACCCAUUUUGUGUACGUGUUGAUGCUUCACCGCCCAACAUUCUGUGCCAUACAGCAUCGCCGGCCUUAUUGCCGUCCUAUAAAAUUUUCCCUUGAGCUUCAGUGGCAUACGGCGGUCACACAACACGCCGGAUGCACUCUUCCACUUCAUCCAUCCAGCUUGUAUUUCUAUGGUUGAGAUCUCCAUCUAAUUCUCCGUUCUUUUUGCAAGAUAGAUCCUAGGUAACGAAAACGGUCGCUCUUUGGUAUUUCUUGAUCUCCGAUCAUCACCCUUAACUCGUUUUGGCCUCCAUUUGCACUAAACUUGCACUCCAUAUAUUCUGUCUUUGAUCGGCUUAGGCGAAGACCUUUAGAUUCCAACACUUCUCUCCAAAGGUUAAGCUUUGCAUUUACCCCUUCCUGAGUUUCAUCUAUCAACAUUAUAUCGUCUGCGAAAAGCAUACACCAAGGAAUAUCAUCUUGAAUAUGUCAUGUUAACUCAUCCAUUACCAACGCAAAAAGGUAAGGACUUAAGGAUGAGCCUUGAUGUAAUCCUACAGUUAUGGGAAAGCUUUCGGUUUGUCCUUCAUGAGUUCUUACGGCAGUCUUUGCUCCUUCAUACAUAUCCUGUAUAGCUUGGAUAUAUGCUACUCGUACUCCUUUCUUCUCUAAAAUCCUCCAAAGAAUGUCUCUUGGGACCCUAUCAUACGCUUUUUCCAAAUCUAUAAAGACCAUGUGUAAAUCAUUUUUCCCAUCUCUAUAUCUUUCCAUCAAUCUUCGUAAGAGAUAGAUUGCCUCCAUGGUUGAGCGCCCUGGCAUGAACCCGAAUUGGUUGUCCGAAACCCGUGUCUCUUGCCUCAAUCUAUGCUCAAUGACUCUCUCCCAAAGCUUCAUUGUAUGACUCAUUAGCUUAAUACCCCUAUAGUUCAUGCAAUUUUGUACAUCGCCCUUAUUCUUGUAGAUAGGCACCAAAGUGCUCAUUCGCCACUCAUUUGGCAUCUUCUUCGUUUUCAAAAUCCUAUUGAAAAGGUCAGUGAGCCAUGUUAUACCUGUCUCUCCCAAAACUUUCCACACUUCGAUUGGUAUAUCGUCUGGGCCUACUGCUUUUCUAUGCUUCAUCUUCUUCAAAGCUACAACCACUUAUUCCUUCCGGAUUCUACGAUAAAAAGAGUAGUUUCGACACUCUUCUGAGUUACUCAACUCCCCUAAAGAAGCACUCCUUUCAUGUCCUUCAUUGAAAAGAUUAUGAAAAUAACAUUUCCAUCUGUCUUUAACCGCGUUCUCUGUAGCAAGAACAUUUCCAUCCUCAUCCUUGAUGCACCUCACUUGGUUUAGAUCCCUUGUCUUCUUUUCCCCUGCUCUAGCUAGUUUAUAGAUAUCCAACUCUCCUUCUUUGGUAUCUAGUCGCUUAUACAUAUCGUCAUAAGCCGCUAACUUAGCUUCUCUCAGCUUUCUUCGCCUCUUGCUUCGCUUUUCUAUACCUUUCACCAUUUUCAUCGGUCAUAUCCUUGUAUAAGGCUUUACAACAUUCCUUCUUAGCCUUCACCUUUGUUUGUACCUCUUCAUUCCACCACCAAGAUUCCUUUUGGUGUGGGGCAAAGCCCUUGGACUCUCCUAAUACCUCUUUUGCUACUUUUCGGAUACAACUAGCCAUGGAAUCCCACAUUUGGUUAGAUUCCCCCUCUCUAUCCCACACACACUGGGUGAUUACUUUCUCUUUGAAAAUGACUUGUUUUUCUUCUUUUAGAUUCCACCAUCUAGUCCUUGGGCACUUCCAAGUCUUGUUCUUUUUUCUCACUCUUUUGAUAUGUACAUCCAUCACCAAUAAGCGAUGUUGAUUAGCCACGCUCUCUCCUGGUAUAACAAGCCAAUAAAACAAUAAUUCACUGUAUAAAUCAUUUUUUCAACUUUAAAGUGUGGCUUAAAAAGAAGCUUUAAACAAGUAGCAAUAAUUUCAUAUUGAAAAAUAAAACCUAUUUCAUGGAUAUUACAAGAGCCAUUAUUUUGAAAAACACACAUUUUGGUUCUUCGCUGCUUGACUUUUAAGAAGAUCUUUGUCCUUGUGACGAUUCAAAUUCUUUAAAAUAUCUCUGCAACGGAAUAAACAAAACCAAUCUAGGCCAAAAUUGACUUGUUCGAUUUGAUUAUGUUCAUUGAUUUUUCUGUUCACAUGUUUACCCCUACUUGCCAUAUAGUUUUGGGGUGUUAGCGCAUAGUGCUCUUCUCUUUACACACCAGUUUUAAUUUUAUUCUUCGUAAAUUAAGAGACCGUUUGAUAAUCAUUUCGUUUUCAAUUUAAAAAAAUAUAAAAAACUAAAUGAAGUUUUCAAAAUUUGACCUAGAAUUUUCGCUUUUGGUUUUCAAUUUUAAUUUUUUUAAAAACAACUGAAAACUAAAAAUAGUUACAAAAAGAAUUUUUCAGUUUUUAAUUUACAAAAAAGUAAAAACUGAAAACUCUAUACUAGACUAAAAAUUAAAAAGUGAAAUCGAAAUGGGCUCUCAACAAAAUUGAAAAAAGACUCGGCUGAAUUACUGAAUUCAAAGCAGGGCUUAUUAACGUUACGAGGCCCAAUGGAUCUAUAUAAAUAUUUUUCGUUUUUUUUUUUUAACAAACGAUAUUAUUUAUAUAGGCUUAAUCUUACCGUAGGCUAACAAUAAUGUGGUUCAAAUUUGUUUUUCGUAAGAAUCGAACUUAAAACUUCUCAUUUACAAAUGAAGACAAAAUCCACUAAACUGUAGUCUUGAGUGGCUCGUUAUUUUAUUUUAUAUUUUAAGAAAAAAGAAAGAAAGCAAUGAAAAGCUGUACAUAAAAUAAAUACAAAAAGGGAUGAAAUGAAGAAGAGUGGGAGACUAACGUUUAAUUCAAGAUAAAGAAAGAAAGGUAAUCGCACCACGACGGCGGCGACGUGGCGGUCAUUUAACGGAAAAUAACAGACAAAUCAGCCUCCAGAUCAAGUCUUGAAGCACAACUCUGAAAAAUCGAGACUACCUACAGCUGAGCUCCGACCAACCGUUGAUGGAUGCAAUCAGGAAGCUCAGAGAUCAGGUCGCCAAGCAACAGCAGGUACUCCCUCUCGUUUGAUUCCGAAUUUGUAUUUCUGUAUGGAUUUUGAUAUGAACAUAAUCUGCGUUGAUUGCGAGAUACUGAGAUUGCUUAAUGAAAUAAUAUUUAUAUAAUUAUUCGAGUUGAAUUGGAUCGAUUCGAAUUCAAAUAGAAUUUCACUAAUUCUGAGCUGUUUGGGGAUGUGUUGGAGUGCAAUGUUGAUGAAUUUCUGAAAUUUUGAGCUAGGUGUUGCUAAUUACUUAUCGAUUUUUGAUGUAACUGGAUGCUUAAUUUUUACAUUUUCGGAAAACUUGAAGCGAAAAUGGCAUAUAAUUCAACGUUCCAUGCUUCAUUAAUGCAUAUGAGUUAGUCGAAGCUUUAUCGAGUUUGCUUUUGAUUAUUUUGUGAACACCGUCAGGCUGUGUUCAAACAAUUUUCUGGUGGCAUAUAUGGGGGAUCGGAUAAUGUUGCCUCGGAUGAAAAUGAAUUUCAACAGCAUCAGAAACUCGAGAAGCUGUACAUAUCAACUCGUGCUGCCAAGGUUGCUACGCUUAUUUUUGUCUGUGCUUUAAACGAGCAUCACGUUAGUUGUGUUACCUAUCGUUUUUUGCUUCUUCUUUAACAGCAUUACCAAAAGGAAAUUGUCCGCGGAGUGGAAGGUUACAUUGUGGCCGGUUCAAAGCACGUUGAAAUAGGUAUGUUGCUUGAAAUGCGUUGUCUUUUCUUGGGAGUUUGGAUAUGAAUUCAUGUUGGUUUUAUCAGUUGGUAUACAUAAUACUUUUUCAACAGGUACCAAGCUAUCAGAAGAUAGCAGGAAAUAUGGUUCUGAAAAGACUUGCACCGGUGGUAACACAUUGUCGAGAGCUGCACUGAGUUUUGGAAGAGCUCGGGCCCAAAUGGAAAGAGAGUGCGGAGUUCUACUGAAAGCCCUUGGCACACAGGUUUAAGUCAAAUUAUUACUAUACAAUGGCUCAUUAAGUAAAAAUCAAAUAUUGCCAGGGCCGGUUUCAUACAAAUGGAAUUUCAACCUACUAAUUUUCGUGUGCAUUUGAUCAUUUCGAAAGAAAUUUACAGUAAAAAUUGUUUCCAUUUUCACGUGUGGUUCAAGAACUGCACUACUUUUUGUGUUAUUAUGCAUCAUAUAAGAGGUCGCACUUGGUGCGAUGGCAAGUGCCUUCGCCCAUGAGCGGUAGGUCUCGGGUUCGAGACUUGGGAGCAGCCUCUCCAUAAAUGGGGGUAAGGUUAGCCGACAUUCACCUCUCCCAGACCCUGCGUAAAGCGGGAGGCUUGUGCACUGGGUACGACCUUUAUGCAUCAUAUGACAAACUGGUUCACCAUUUCUUUCUAUAGGUUUGCAUAAUAACUCUUUCUGUGCUUAUCAAUUUGCCUGUGUAGGUUGUGUUAGGUUUUUGGCUCAAAAUUAGGAUGAUGCAAUAAAUUAGGUUUCUGUUAACUAUUUGGUUUUGGUGUUCUAUUUGGGUUUGGUUUUGACUUCUUAGUUAGUUUCCUUGGUGGAGAGAUUUUGUUAAUUACCUAUUUGAUUUGGAUUUGGAUUUAUUUCAUAUUAGGAUUCUUAUUGUAACCUAAGUCCUAUGCACUAUAAAUAGGACCUUAGGGUUAGUGUAUUUAGUGUGCUUCAUCAUGGUUUAGAGAGCUUUUCUCUAUUUUGGUUUUGGGUGGAGGUCACCGUUUGGAGUCACGAGCGUGGCAAAUUCAUGGCUCAUUCGUUUGGCAAAUUUGGUGAGAGUCAAUUUGUGAGUUUGUGAGUUAGAAAGCAAUUUGGGAGAAUCUUCUCCGUUUGUUUUGAGUUCUCUACUCGUUUGGUUUAGGGUUUGUAAUUUGUGGGAUUUAGGUUGUGAGAGUUUAAACACUCUUUUGUAAUCUCCAUUUGUUUAGUGAAAUUCCUUGCCGUGCUUCGCCCGUGGAGUAGGCUUUACGCCGAACCAUGUAAAUCUCGUGUUAGUUUGAGAUUGUUUGUUUUAGCUUUCACCUAUGACGUUGAUAUUUGGUACUUUGUUAUAAUUCGCUUCCGUUUGCGCAUAAAAGUACAACAAGUGGUAUCAGAGCCCAGGUUUCGGCUUGGGCUUUGCUUAGCAGUCACUCUGAAGCCUUCUGUGUUGAUAUUGAAAAGUUCGAAGGUAAUGACUUUGGUAUUUGGCAAUUGAAGAUGCGUGCUUUGGUAGUUCAAGGAAGGAAUAAGGAAAAGAGCAAACUUGGAAAGAACACUUGUAGCUAUUGUUAUAAGGAAGGCCAUUGGAAAGUAGAUUGCCCUAAACUCAAGGGCAAAAACAAGCCGUUUGAUAAGUCUUUUGCUAAUGUUGAUGCAAACAUUGCAGAAGAUCAUUGUUCUGAACUCCUCUAAAUGUUAUGUGAGGAGGUGGAGCUUGGUACUCAAGCUCUUUGGGUGGAGUGCAAUUCGCACUUUUUGUUCAUAUGUUCAAGCUUUUGCUUGGAUUUUGUUUCGUAUUUGUUAGUUUCCAUAAUGGAAUUUGUUGGAGAAGGCAUUGGAGGAAAUUUCAAGUUUGAAGACUUUUGGAUUUUUUGAGUCUAGGUGGAGAUCAGUUUCAAAAGAAUUUGGUGCACGUUUGCGUUUGUAUUUUGGUAUCCCAAAUUUGGAAGUUUGCUAAUUUCUCGCCGAGGUGGAGAUUGUUAGGUUUUUGGCUCAAAAUUAGGAUGAUGCAAUAAAUUAGGUUUCUGUUACCUAUUUGGUUUUGGUGUCCUAUUUGGGUUGGGUUUUGACUUUUUAGUUAGUUUCCUUGGUGGAGAGAUUUGUUAAUUACCUAUUUGAUUUGGAUUUGGAUUUAUUUCCUAUUAGGAUUCUUAUUGUAACCUAAGUCCUAUGCACUAUAAAUAGGACCUUAGGGUUAGUGUAUUUAGUGUGCCUCAUCAUGGUUUAGAGAGCUUUUCUCUAUUUUGGUUUUGGGUGGAGGUCACCGUUUGAAGUCAUGAGUGUGUGGCAAAUUCAUGGCUCAUUCGUUUGGCAAAUUUGGUGAGAGUCAAUUUGUGAGUUUGUGAGUUAGAAAGCAAUUUGGGAGAAUCUUCUCCGUUUGUUUUGAGUUCUCUACUCUUUUGGUUUAGGGUUUGUAAUUUGUGGGAUUUGGGUUGUGAGAGUUUAAACACUCUUUUGCAAUCUCCGUUUGUUUAGUGAAAUUCCUUGCCGUGCUUUGCCCGUGAAGUAGGCUUUAUGCCGAACCACGUAAAUCUCUUGUGUUAGUUUGAGAUUGUUUGUUUUAGCUUUCACCUAUGACGUUGAUAUUUGGUACUUUGUUAUAAUUCGCUUCCGUUUGCGCAUAAAAGUACAACAGGUUGCAGAGCCUUUAAGAGCAAUGAUAGUGGGAACACCCUUGGAGGAUGCUCGACAUCUAACUCAACGAUAUGCUAGAAUGCGGCAAGAAGCUGAAGCUCAGGUAUAUGCAGUUUCUUCUGUUUCCUACCAAUUUUAUACUACAGUGAUUUUACAUGUUACAUGGUGAUCAUACAUUUCUCGGUUAACUUUUUUUGUUUUCUUUUAAAAGUGUUUGUUCAUUUUGAGACAAUCAUGCAUUGGUAUUUAUAGAGAACGCAAAAUCUUAAGAUGUUUAAUGUAACUUGUUGAGAUUGCUUCAUUACUUGAAGCUUUGUUGUAAUUUGGUUUUUGUUUUUUUUUUAUUACUCCUUCAGAUUUGUCUAUAUAUACUAACUUGCACCGGGAUAGGCUAUAGAUGUUUCCAGACGCCAGGCCAAAGUACGGGAUUCUGCAGGUAAUGCUGACAUUAUCAUGAAACUAGAAGCUGCUGAAGCCAAGCUUCAGGAGCUGCAGUCUAGCGUUGCAAUAUUGGGAAAAGAAGCUAGUGCAGCUAUGGCUGCUGUUGAAGGUCAACAACAAAGAUUGACUCUUCAGCGGCUUCUUGCGAUGGUAAAGGAUUGCCUUCUCCUUUUUAUUUAAGUGUUAAGACCUUGGCCUGUUCUAGUUACAAGACUGAAAAGGAAAUUAAUUUUGUAAAUUUGUGAUUUUUCGUCCCCAUUCAAGGUUGAAGGAGAACGCAACUAUCAUCAGAACGUUCUUUAGAUACUUGAUCAGCUUGAAGGCGAGGUAUGAAAUAUCCUAAAGUCUUCCUUUCAGCAUGACAAUUUCUUUUCCCAAUUCAUUUGGCUGUAUAUUAUUCUAGUGUCUUGCUACUAAAAGCAGAGAUCAUUGACAGUAUUUGUUGGGACAGAUUUUAUCAGAAAAGCAGCGAAUUGAAGCAUCGCAUAGUCCGCCUACCGAGGACACUAUGCCUCCACCACCAUCGUAUGAGGAUCUCGGCCGUAGCUUUGCUUCUGAAACCUGUGAUGAAUUGACAGAGUUGAGGGACUCUUCUCUUUCUUAGGAGAGGUAUCUUUAUGCUAUUGUUGUUGUAUCCAAGUUUUAGUCUGUUCGACUCUUUAGUUUCUAGUAACUGUUUCUUUUCGCCUACCGCAGGUUAUUUACACCUUCCACGCUGUAACUGAUGUGGAGUUAAGUUUGUCAUUCGGGAAUUACGUUGUCGUCCGGAAGGUUCUGUCGUCUUUCCUGCUUGCAUGCUUUCAUCUUAUAUUCAUGUUCGGAUUUAUUUCUUUCGUAUUGAGGUUAAAUUUUCAUGUUCAAAGACGUUCACUCAGGUAUGUUCGUCAAUGCAUAGGCAUUAGCACACCACCGAGUGCAUUAGAAUAUGGAUUUCAGUUUUGGGUGCUGCAUGCAUUAAUGUAGUUUGUCUGGUUUUGGUUAUUGCUGCCGCUGAGCAUGAGUGGCUUUCUGUAGUUGCUGAGAGUUAUAUUGUGAGCAUAAUUCAUACAGCAGCUUUCAUAUACGGCACAUGUAGUCGGCAGCACUGCAUUUAGAAAGAGAAAGUUAUAUUUUCUUCACUGUUUAUUGAAAACUUAUAUGUUGCAUGUUCUGACUUUUAAAGUGAGUCGGCAUCAGAGUUUUUAUUUGAGAAAAAUCAGUUUUGUGUCCAUGUGUUUUCAAAGAAAAUAUUUUAGUUUUUAAUCACUGAUUUUUCAUUGUGCUUCAAUUAGAAAUCAAUUAUGAGAAUGUGCCUUGUGAUUUUCGUAAUUGGUUGAUUUCAAAAAAUCUUUACAUUUCAUACAUUCUGCAUGAUCACAUUAGGAUCUUGCAAAGUUCAAGGACACAGUGAUUGACUGUCGCGUUAGUGUCGUGCCACUUUCACUUGAAAGCUGAAGAGAGAUCGAGUAGCAAAGCUCAAUGAAAAAAAUUGCCUACUAGUAUGUGGGUCUAGUUAAUGAGUUUUGUAAGUCUUUCUAUACUCAUUUGUCCUGGCUUAAGAGUUUGAGGAUUUUCUCAGUGAUGAGUUUUACCUUGUUAAAUCCUACAUCAUGUGUACACAUGUUAUUUGUCUUUUUAAUUGCAAAUGUGUAGGAUAAUCUUUCACUUAUUUUCUUGUAGUGAACUCUAUCUUAGACAUUCAUCAACAUUUAGAGUUUACGACAGAGGACUUUGCUACCAUAUUAUCAGUGCAUUGAUUAAUUUGUAAAGCGCCCAUUUAUCCUAAUUAUAAAAUAUAUCCUAAUUAUAAAAUAUAAUCUGUACAAGACAUUAACAGUUUGGAUGUCAUGUAUGGCCACAUCCUUUAUUUUCAGAAUAAUGCUAUUCAUACCAUGUUUUUAUAUCAUAUUUAUAUACCACUUUAAGUGGCAUCUGAUGUAAACAACCACAUCAUUUGAAAAAUUUGCAAAACCCAAGGAAAGGAAAGAGAAAGACUCUUUGUAUACCAUAAUCGUCAUUUAAUUAACUAAUUUUUCUUAAUUAUUAGUUUAUUAAAUAAUGAACUAAAUUUAAAAAUCUGAUUAAUUCAAAUUAUGUGUCAGUUCACAUCACAUCAAAUGCCACCGAAAAUGGUAUGAAAAUGUUGUAUAAAAAUAUGGUAUGAAUAACAUUACUCUUAUUUCCACCAUUCUUAUCAACUGGAUGGGGAUAGAUUGUCUUUAUCUCACAAACCCAUAAUGUGGCAAUCGUCCAUUAGAAAGGUAAUGUACGUUUUGAAAAUCGUGGUAAAUAUUGAAUGAGUAAUGACGCCUCUAAAAAUAAAAUUUAGUUAUUUGAAAGAAUCUUUCAUAAAAUAAAGUAACGAAUAAUCAACAAAAGUAGCAGUACACCAAGUUGAAUCCUUUUCAACGUUGAAAUGAAAUAUGAAAGUAGAUCAAGUUUAUAUUAUUCAUCUACUUUUUAUUUUAUUUUAAUAAACGAUAUUAUCUACACUAAAGAGAUAGAGUUGGUUAAGCCUCACAAUGGACUAGCAAUAAUAUGGUUCAAAUUCACAUUUGACGAGAAUCAAACCAAGUGAAGAGAAAUAUCAUUAGACCGUAACAUUAUUCAUCAACUUUUAAAUUCAUCCACUUUUAAAUAAUAAACAAUCAAGAAAAACAUUGCACGCGGUCCCCUCUCGUCACUUACCACUAGUGCCAUCACUUACCUGAGCAAAAGAGAUAUUUCUAAUUGCUUGACCCAAACAAGCAUUGAGUUCAUCCAUCAAUAACAGGUCCACAUCUCAACCCAAAUAUAAUAACGUCAAAGGAGAGGGGAAAAUGAGAAGGAAACUCUGGAGGGUAGAGGGAAGGAAAAGGAGAAAAGGACAAAGGAGAAAAGGACAAAGGGAGAAGGGAAAAGUAGAAAGGGAAGGAGGACCACAGUAGAAAAUAUCGAUAAUAUCGGUGAAAUAUCGCCGAUAUUAUCGUUUUUUUGGGACCCCGAUAUUUUAGUAACUAUCCAACUUGUUUUCGGCAGAAUAUCGCGAUAUUAUCGAUAAUAUCGAUAAUAUCGCGAUAUUUUCGAAACUAUCGCGAUAUUUGGUAUGGACUCAUCGGAGAACACGGCCGGAGCAAAUAAUCCGAAACCCUAAAUCCCCAAAUGCUAAAUCAAAGCAAAUGAACUGAAUCUACAAUACAGGAUUCCGAGAAGAACGAUUUCAGUACAAAAUUCAACAUGUUUACAAGCCGAGAAGAACGAUUUCAGUACAAAAUUCAAAGCAAAUGAACCGAUUCCCUAAAUCCCCAAAUUCGGAUUCAAAGCAACUGAACUAAAUCCCUAAUUCCUAAAUCCCUAAAAUCUAUUUCAGUACAAAAAUCAAGCAACAUGCAGAUAAAUCGCAAUCUGUACAAAAAUAGAAACCCUAAUUCCUAAAUCCCUAAAAUCAAUUUCAGUACAACAAAGGUGCAACAUGCAGAAAAAUUGAAAUCUGUACAAAAAUUUAAAGUAAUAGAGGGGAAGAAGAGAAGUAGGAGCCUGGAACAUCGUCUUCCUCACGAAUCCAAGACGGCUGGGACAAGUUCGUGCUCCUCAGUGGUGUCGACGGCUUGGACUACGGAGACAGAGGGAGACACGGAGACACGGACGGUUAUGGAGUGGUGUCGACGGCUGGGUUUAGGGCGGGUGAGAUAGGAGGAGCAGAGGGAGACAGGGAGACACGGAGACACGGACGAGGAGGAUCGAGAUUUGAGAGAUGAUGUCUCUGUGUGUGUGUGGAAGAACUGGAGAAGGGGGAAGGGAGGGAGAAGACUGAGAACUUCUCGGUGAGAACGAAGGCUCAGACCGACCUCAGAGAGAAAAGAGAGAAGAGAGAGACUGAGAGGAUUCGAGAAUAUGGUAGUGGAGUGGGAAAUGAAAGAUCGAGAGAGAGACCUCCGUGUGUGGUGUACGUGUGUGGUGUGCGUGUGUGGUGUGGUGGGGGGGUCUCGAAGUGUGUGUGUGGUGGAGUGUGAGUUCUUCAGUCUUUUUGACUGUCUGAGUGAUGGUGUCUAAGAAAAAAAAAGCAUCCAAUGCUCCAAAUUAUUCAAAACCAAAUCAUUCCAAACCUAUGUCUACCUCUCUGAUCCAAUGAUCCAAAGAACUUUUUUGCAAUUUCAGAACAUGCACAACAAAUACUACUGCUUUAAUAAUGAAAGCGUGUGACAGUCUUUCACAUGCAAAACAGUGUCAAUGUCUGUUAUAUACUUACAUUCUUUCAUCAUCAGAGGCAUUCACCGAAUUUUAACUUACAUUCUUCUUCCCAUACCAUUUUCAAAACCAUUCCAGAUCCUUUCCAAAGCCAAGCAACACAAAGGCUUCCAUAUUUAAGGUAAGUUUACAAACUUAAAUUUAUAUUAUUGUAAUUUAUAUACAAAAACAAAUAAAUUUGUGUGCACUCGUAUGUUAAUUUUUUUAAGUAAUUACUUGCAUGUUAAUUAUGUUAAUUUUUGUAAGUAAUUAAGUAAUGUUAAUAUUAAUUGUUUUAAGUAAUUAAGUAAUGUUGUAUAAUUAUUCCCUAGGAUAAUUUUAAUAUGUUUAAUAUUAUUUAUUAUUUUAUUUCUCUUACCAUCUUCAUUAUCAAAUUGGAUUAUUAUUCAUUAAUAUUAGGUUUUUUUAUUAUCAAAUUGGAUUAUUAUUCUUUAAUAUUAGAUUUUUUUAUUAUCAAAUUGGAUUAUUAUUCUUUUAUAUUAGGUUUUUUUAUUAUCAAAUUGGAUUAUUAUUCUUUUAUAUUAGGAAUUUUUUUAUCAAAUUGGUGGAUUAUUCAUUAAAUUUGAUUAUUAUCAAAUUGGAUUAUUAUUCAUCACCAUGUUUUAUAUUAGGAUAAUUUUUUUAUCAAAUUGGUGGAUUAUUCAUUAAAUUGGAUUAUUAUCAAAUUUGGAAUAUUAUUCAUCACCAUGUUUUAUAUUAGGAUAAUUUUUUUAUCAAAUUGGAUUAUUUCAUUAAAUUGGAUUAUUAUCAAAUUGGAUUAUUAUUCAUCACCAUGUUUUAUAUUAGGAUAAUUUUUUUUAUCAAAUUGGUGGAUUAUUCAUUAAAUUGGAUUAUUAUCAAAUUGGAUUAUUAUUCAUCACCAUGUUUUAUAUUAGGAUAAUUUUUUUAUCAAAUUGGUGGAUUAUUCAUUAAAUUGGAUUAUUAUCAAAUUGGAUUAUUAUUUAUCAAAUUGGAUUAUUAUUCAUCACCAUGUUUUAAUUUAGGAUAAUUUUUUUAUCAAAUUGGUGGAUUAUUCAUUAAAUUGGAUUAUUAUCAAAUUGGAUUAUUAUUCAUCACCAUGUUUUAUAUUAGGAUUUUUUUUUAUCAAAUUGGAUUAUUAUUCAUUAAAUUGAAUUAUUAUCAAAUUGGAUUAUUAUUCAUUAAUAUUAGGUUUUAUUAUUCCAUAUUAUUUGUAUAAUUACUUAACUUUUUACAAUCAUUUUCUUUACUUUGUAUUUAAUUCUUCUGUAGAAUAACUUUAUUAUUUAGGUUCUCUUAUUUUUAUCAAAAAAUAAUUGUCUAAUUUUAAUGAAAAAUAAAUAUAGGUACAUUUAAUGUUAUAACCCUUACCCAAAAAAUAACCUAGUUUACUUUGGGCCAGGCUAAUCCCUUUGUGUUUUAAUGUAAGGCCCGAGUUUUUCUUUAAUUUUCUUAAGCCCAAGGUUUAUUCAACCCGUGAACCUCAUCUCCUUCCUCUCUCUUUUCUGAAAAGUCAUCUCUCUCUUUCUUUGUUUCUUCCCUCUCUCUCUCUAACUCUCACUCUCUAAAACCCGAGAGAAGAGAGCUCUCACCCUCCCACUUACCUUCACCACCAAGCCCUAUUUUCUACAUAUUCGGAGUCUGUGGGAUGCAAGGAUCACGAUGGUGGUCUUGCAUGUGAUAUCACUGCAGUGAGGACCUCGGCACCAUUAAAGUUGAGAGCUCCAUAGCUCUCAAAGCUUGAACCCAGGUGAACUAUGCCUUCUUCUCUAAAUUUCUGGGUUUAUGAAUGAUAUUUUAAUCUAUGUGAUUAUUAAGUUUAUCCCGUUAUUUCAAGAUUAAGGACGAAACCAUCGUGGGGGAAAGCUCACCCAAACUUUCCGGCGAACCCGUGACUCUCGAGGGAUUUUCCGAGCACACCGGGCCGUGUCACGGUGAAGCAAGGGUACAUUAAUACUCCUCUCUCUCCCCACUUCAUUUUGUUAUGUAGUUUGGACCUUGAGAUGCUCGUUCGUCGUCGACCGGAGCUAUAAUAGCUCCGGUGUUCUUCCCCGGUCAGCUCGCAAGCCUUCAGGCCGUUUAGGACACCCACGGGCCUUAGGCCCAUAUUGGUUCAGCCCUUUUUGCGUAUGGGUGGGUGUAAAUGUGCGAAUGUAUGCUGUGUGUGUGUAUGCAUGUUCGUGCGUAUGUAUGUGCAGUGUGGGUUCGGUGUGUGUCUGUGCGUGUUUGUCCAUGUGAGUGUGUGCGUUUGGUAAGUGUGCAGGCCGUGCAUGUGUGGGUGUAUGUGUAGUGCAUAUGUGCAGUGUGUGAAUAUGUAUAUGUGUGUGUGUGUGCUGGUGCGUAAGUAUAUGUAUGUGUGUGUGUUUAUAUAUAUAUAUAUAUAUGCAUUUGUGGGUGCAGCGCAUGCUAAUGCAUGCUGUGUGUGUUUAUAUAUGUAUCUAUAUAUAUAUAUAUAUAUAUAUAUAUAUGCAAGAGUGUGUGUGUGCAGUGCAUGCUUUGCAUGUAUGUGUGUGUGGGUGAGUAUGGGUUGGGCUCAAGCCCAAACCACCUUUUGAUCCUUACCUAUCCAAAUCCAAGGUCCAUUUCCAUUUCCUAGAAUUAUAUUGUUGGGUAGUUUGAUUAACUGUACGUUCUUGUACUUAGGGACACUUAUCGCGACGUUUCUGUCUUCGCUAGUGGCGCAGCUUUUGACGGAGUAUCUGUGAGUGGACCACCUUCGAAAAUUGCAUGUUUUAUUGAUAGAAUUGCAUAAUUUAAUAGCAUGCCUUACAGAAUUAUUUGAUUUGAGGAUUGAUGAAAUUAUGCUACGAAGUUGUAUUUUAGAGAUGAAUUAUGUUUUGUGCGUACCUAGUGAACACUAUGCCGCCUGGGGCGAGGAUCUGGUGUUGGCAUUGAGGCCGGGAGAAAUAAUCCCUAGCGAAAGGCUGAGGGACACGGAGACAGGCAUUGGGCCGGGAGGGAGAUAUCUCUGGCUACGGGCACAGAGACUGAGGUGCAGGCAUUGGGCCGGGAGUAUUGUUAUUCAGUGCACUCACUAGCAGCACAACUUAUGUUAUGCUUCCUGAUACGAUUUCUGAUAUGAUUUCUGAUAUGAUUUUAUGAGAUUGAUUUGCAGAGAGAUAUAUGAAUUGUUUUUAUGGCAUGCUAGUGGUUUUGAGAAACCUAUCACUUAUUAUUUAGUAGUUUUCAUUAUCUUAACUGUGGGGGUUAGUAUGUUCAUAACUAUUUUUGUACUACGUAUGUAUAUAAACUUGGUCCACUCACCCUUGUUUUGCGCCCCCAUUCAGGACUUAGGAUGAAGGCACAUAACCCCGGCAACAAGGUACUUCCGCAGCGGCAUCUUCGAGUCCUCUCGGGGUAGGACCCACUCAUUUGUUCAUUCAAUCUUAUCUUAAUUCUUAUUAGUGACUAGGUUUAGUUAUAUGCUCUGAACACGUUCCUAAAUUGUUAAUUCAUUGUUUUUAAAUUCAUAACCUGUAUUUAUUUCUUAUUCUUAGCUUUUGUAUCAAUUAAUGGCUUUCGUCACCCCCGGGUGUCGGCCAGCACGUGUCGGUCCUGGUAUUCGGGGAAUAUCAGGGUCGGGGCGUGUCAUUUAAGAUGUCAAGUAAACGUGAUCCAGCUUGGGAACAUGGAGACCCAAUAGACGGAAACAAACAUGGCACAAUUUGCAAAUAUUGUGGUCGGGUAAUGAAGAGUGGCGGAGUGACACGACUGAAGUAUCAUCUUAGUGGAUUAGAUCCAUCAAAAAAUGUCCAACGAUGCGAUAAUGUCCCCCCAGAAGUGAAGGCAUUCAUCAGCACAUUAUUAAAAAAUAAAAAACAGCAGAAGGAAAAGAUGACACAAGGAAUGGAAAAUAUUCGAGCUGAGCUACGGGGAGAAGUCUAUGGCCAAGCGGUUGACAGUGAUGAUGAUGACGAUGAGGACGAAUGUGAUGAUGACAUGGGACCUGAAGAACGACGCAGUUUGAAACAAGCAUUACGUGCCUCCAAACAGUCAGCAUGGGAAAGAGAACACCUUCAUAAAAUUCCUAAUAGGGGACAAGGUUCCGGGACAAGUGGUGGUGCACAAAUGAGACGGGGAGGCAGUCUUAGAGAAUCACAACCAACACCACCAAUAGCCCCAAGUUUAUAUAAGUCAUCCAACGCACGUCAAAAGAGUGUUUGGAGUUAUUUCAAGGGAGGUAAUGUGAAGGAGGGAAUGGGGCGUCUAAUUAGCAAGUUCUUUAUCUAUGAAAAUGUCCCUGCUGCGAAGGCUUCAUCACAUCAUUUCAAAAAUAUGGUAGUGGGAUGUCAACAGGCCGGUGUUGGAGUACAACCUCCCACUCCCUAUGAGAUAAGAAACAAAUAUUUGGAUAUGGAGUAUAAAGACAUUGGCGAGUAUGUUAACAAGUUGAGGUCAAAGUGGGAAACUAAUGGUUGCACAAUCAUGUGUGACGGAUGGACCGGCCCCCGACCAGAUUAUCUAUCAUCAACUUCAUGGUAUAUUCCAAGGGCAAGACAAUUUUUUUGAAGUCUGUUGAUGCUUCAGACCAUAUAAAGAAUUACAAAUAUAUUUACAAAUUAUUGAGGGAUGUAAUCAUGGAGGUGGGAGAGCAUAAUGUUGUCCAAGUCGUGACCGACAACGGUUCUGCAUUUGUCAAAGCUGGAAAAAAGUUAAUGAAGCAUCAUAAUGUGUUUUGGACAUCAUGUGCAACACAUUGUAUUGAUCUUAUGUUUGAGGCAAUGGGGAAGAGAGAGAAUGUUGCUACUGUGGUCAAAAGAGCUAGAACGAUCACUAAUUUAUAUUUACAAUCACGGUUGGUUGUUGGCAAAGAUGCGUGAAUUUUGCAGAGGAGAAAUUAUUCGUCCAGCUACCACUCGAUUCGCCACCAACUAUAUUGCAUUAAACAGCCUACUCAAGAAGAAAGCAGGGUUGAAGCAACUAUUCACCAGUGAUGAUUAGGCCAACCACAAUUUUAGCCGCUCAAAUACAGGUCGUUUGGUGGAAAGUAUAGUGCUUGAUCAUGCUUUUUGGAGUCAAACAGAACAUGUGUGUCAAGUGUUUGAACCUCUUUACAAAGUUUUACGGAUCGUUGACACAGAAGUGUAUCCCUACUAUGGGGGCUGUAUAUGAGUUGAUGCGUGUAGUGAAGGAUGAAUUGGAAAGAAAACAUGGUGCAAGGUGGGUCGUAAAAAUAAUUGAAGACCGAUGGUAUAAAACAUUAUACCACGAUUUGCAUGCAGCAGGUAUAAAUUAUGUCAUAAUUUGCAAUUCAUUUCUUUAGUUGCAUAAAUAUUAUUUAUCUUAUUAGAGUAUGUGUUUCUUUGAAACAGCAUAUUAUUUGAAUCCCCGAUACCAAUACAGACCCGGUGUUGGAGAUGAUGGUACCCUUAUACGUGCUGUACAUAAUGUAUACUCUAAAUUAGACCCUGCAUCACCAGCAGUUGGCCAAUUUGGAAAUGAGGUACACAAUUACUUAAAUUAUAAUAAUUACUUUGUUGGAUUAAACUAACACAAUUUAUUGUAUUCAGCUAACAUGGUUUAAAGAUGCAAGAAGAACAUUUGGAGAACCAACAUCAGUUGCUGCUCGAACAAAUAUGUCUCCUAGUGAGUAUAAACAUAUUUCACUAUAAGUUUUAUAAUAGAAUUUUUGUUGGAGUUAUUAGGCUUAUCAACAUUAUUUUUCAUUGUAGCUGAAUGGUGGAUCAUGUAUGGGACCGAUGCACCAACUGUGAGAAAGUUAGCAAUAAAAGUAUUAUCACAAACAGCUUCCUCAUCAGCUUGUGAAAGAAAUUGGAGCACAUUUGCACUCAUCCAUACAAAGCAAAGAAAUAAGUUGGCUCAUAGUAGCUUGGAAAAAUUAGUUUAUUGCUACUACAACAUGAAGCUUCAAAUUCGAGAUAAGGAAGCAAGAAUCGAUCAUGUCGACCGUGGUGACCCACUAGAUGUGUUUGAUAUUGUUGGUGAAGAUGAUGAUAUGGAGGGUAACCAACUUUUUCAAUGGAUUAGACCUCUUCAUUUAGAUGAUGAUGAAGGCAACCCAGCUCCCAGAGUUGCUGAAGAAGCACGUAAUGAAGGGAUAAAUGUAGAAAGAGUAUUAGAGGAGGAGGUGGGAUCUAGCAGCGCUGACUCUUUCGAAGAACUUUUGCACCCAAUGCCAAGCAACACUGGAAUUCCACCUUUUUCUAAUCCUACACAACCACAACAUCGUGCUGAUACUAAUGAUAGCUCUAGUACAAGAUCAGGAGACUCACCUACCACCGGAGGUGGGAAUGAUGAAGGAAAUAGUGGAGCUGGAGGUAGUGGAGCUGGAGGUAGUGGUGGUGGAUAUGGAAACUAUUAUGGACCACCACCUCCCGGAUAUAUGAGCCCCUUCACUGGUGAGGCAAACUUCACGCAUGCAACACAAGAUGAUGACCAUGGCAGUAGGCGGGCAAGACCAGGAAUUGGUGCCAUAGGGAAGGACUAUACUCGCAGAGAAAGAGGCAAAGGGAUUUUGUCAAGUCAAGAAGAUGACUCGUUAUCUAGAACUUCAGACUCUUUUGGAUUGGGAAGUAGUAACUAUGGUUAUACUCAUAACCAACCAUUUCCCUACCCUUCAUAUCCCAUUCCUGUUGGGAUGGAAUCGAGCGACUCAUGGAAUCAAUCCCAGCCUCAAUCUUCAAAUGAUUUUUCUUAUGGACAACCUCAACCAAUCUCGGAUCCAUAUGGGUGGCAUAUUAACAAUUACAUGCAAAACUAUUUUGGGGAUUUAUCAUUUGAUAACUACUCUUCACAAUACACUCAUUCUACACAUAGAGAUGAUGAAGAUAGUGACAAAUUUGAACCUCAUAGGAACUCUAUGUGGUACUAAAGUGUAAAAUAUUGUACUAAUUCAUUAUAUAUAAAUGAUUAUGGUGUGUUUAGACUUCUUUCAUUAAUUACUACAUAUUUUCUACACUCAUAAUGUUUGUCAGAUCGCUAUAUAAUCAACUUGAUAAUGUUAAAUCCAUCAUGCAAUGCAUUUCCUUCCAAUUUUUUGUGAUAAACUAAUAGAUAAUUGACUAAAUAAACAUCCUACAAAGUUUCAAUACAAAUUUCCAAGUUUUUCUUACAAUUUCCGUGGUUUCCAUGUAAUUUUUAUCGAUAUCGAUAUUUUACCGAUAUUUCCAUCGAUAUUUCCGUGUUUUCGGACUACCGAUAUUUCCGAUAUCACCGAUAUUUUCUUCCUUGAGGAGGACAAUGAGAGGAAAUUUCGGAGAAUAGAGAAAAGGAGAAGGGAAAAGUAGAAAAGGAGAAGAGAAGGGAUAAGGGGAAGGAAGCUUAGGAGGGUAGGCAGACGAAAAGAGGGAAAUGCAUAAAAAUAAAAAAUAAAAAAGGAAAGUUGACUUCAUCAUUAUGUCUCCUAGCGGAAAGGAGCAAUCACAUUGUAAAUUAUAUUUCGUAUAAUGAGAAAUUAGUAUUCCUACUCGAGGAUAUAGACACAACUUGUCGAAUCUCGUUACUAUACAGCAAGUCUAUAAUUGCACAACAAUUUGAUUAACCACCUUAAGUUCAUCCAUAUGUACUAAGAUUCAAGUUUUUCCAAACUUUCCUUAUGAAACUAACUGAACAUUACAAGUGCCUCAUUAUUAUGCGGUUCGAUCAAGUUUUAAUUUUUGUCUCAUAACCACAUUAUCUUUAGGACAAUAAUCUUGUGGUUGAAUAUAAAAACCUUCGACAUGGUGAUCAAUGGCGGAGCCAAGUUAAGGGCUGCCCUGGGCUGCAGCCUAGGUAGCUUGUGGUGAAAAAUAAAAUUUUACAUGUAAAUUAGAUUGAUUUUCGAAUGUAGUCCACCAAAUAUUUAGUCGCUAAUUCAAAUUCUCUAGGUUUAACUAUAUAAAAUUAUAUAAUACACUUUGCAAACCAUCUCUUUUUCUUACAUUAUUUUUCUCAUCGCUUCUUGUACAUGUACAAAUUUGGAUUUGUUUAAUUUUAACACGUUUUUGGCUCACCUUGUGAAUUUUUUUAAGCUAACUGAUACUAUAAGAAAUAGGGUAUCAAGUUUCUUUAUUUAAAAAGAUUUAAAAUUUUAAACUAGCCCACCCGGUAAAACAUUCCUAACUCCGCUAUUGAUGGUGAUAUUGGAAACACUAGUUGGUGGGUUGAUUGGUAGAAAUGGUUCCAACAAUUUAAAGAUGAGAAAUGAGUAUUGAGCAAUGAUCAAAAUGUGUUGUACUUUAUCAGAAAAGAUCUUUGUGCAAUCAAAAGUGCAUUUUAUCACAAAAAGGUAACAACGAUCAAUAUAAUUGUUAUUUAUAAAAUCACACAUAAAAUAAGAAGUAAUCUUUUCUUUUUCUUUUCAUCUCUGCCACUAUGGGCCGACCAUGACUUAAAGAAACGCUUUUUGGGUCAAUGGAUGGGAACGACCCAUUUUAUAAUAUUGUUUGUAAAUUUUUCUGGAAGUAGAUGGAAAUGACCGAAGUACAUAUUUCCCCUGCUCACAGACAUUUGCAUUGCACCUAGCAAACACCAGUUUUUUUGUUUGAACAUCGAUCCACAUCAACGUUUAAUUCAAGAUAAAGAAAGGUAAUCGCAACACGACGGCGGCGACGUGGCGGUCAUUUAACGGAAAAUAACAGACAAAUCAGCCUCCAGAUCAAGUCUUGAAGCACAACUCUGAAAAAUCGAGACUACCUACAUCUGAGCUCCGACCAACCGCUGAUGGAGGCAAUCAGGAAGCUCAGAGAUCAGGUCGCCAAGCAACAGCAGGUACUCUCUCUCUCUUGUUUGAUUCCGAAUUUGUAUUUCUCAAUGGAAUUUUAUAUGAACAUAAUCUGCGUUGAUUGCGAGAUACUGAGAUUGCUUAAUGAAAUAAUAUUUAUAUAAUUGUUCGAGUUGAAUUGGAUCGAUUCGAAUUCGAAUAGAAUUUCACUAUUUCUGAGCUGUGUUGGAGUGCAGUGUUGCCGAAUUUCUGAAAUUUUGAGCUAGGUGUUGCUAAUUACUUAUCCAUUUUUGGAUUUAAUUGGAUGCUUAAUUUUUACAUUUUCGGAAAACUUCAAGCAAAAAUGGUAUAUGAUUUUUAUCAUAAAAAGAGUUAGUCGAAGCUUUAUCGAGUUUGCUUUUGAUUAUUUUAUCAUAAAAAGAUGAGCAACGAUCUAUAUAAUUUUUCUGGAAGUUGAUGGAAAUGACCCAAUUACAUAUUUCCCCUCCUCACAGACAUUUGCAUUGCACCUAGCAAACACCAGUUUUUUUGUUUGAACAUCGAUCCACAUCAAUGGCUCUUGUGAGAACAUCUCCAGGAACCUCCUCUGAUUCCAACACUUUUCGGAGUUCUCGCUACGACGUGUUCUUGAGCUUCAGAGGGGAAGAAACUCGCAAGACUUUUACCGACCACCUCUACACAGCCUUGAACAACGCAGGAUUUCUUACGUUCCGAGACGACGAUGAACUUGAGAGAGGAGAAGAUAUAAAGCCAGGACUGCAGAAAGCGAUCCAGCAGUCACGAACUUCUGUUGUCGUGUUUUCGAAAGAUUACGCGUCAUCCAGUUGGUGUCUUGAUGAGCUUGUGCUGAUCCUUGAACGCAAGAGGACCACCUCGGACCAUGUAGUUUUACCAGUCUUCUACGAUGUCGAUCCGUCCCACGUGAGGAAGCAGACAGGAAGUGUUGGAAAAGCAUUUGCUAGAAGCCAGAAAAAUCAGUCGCCGGAAAAGGUGCAGGGAUGGAGGAAGGCACUUGCAGAGAUUGCAGACCUAGCAGGCAUGGUCUUACAAAAUCAAGCUGAUGGGUAACUUUCAUUAUCUCCAUUUCUCAUCUCUUUCCUGGGUGAAUUUGAUGUAUGAUCCGUAGUGACCUAGAUUUUUAUAUGUUUAUUAAUUCAAUCUCAGUAGUGAAUAAUAAUCUCAAUUUAGGUCAACUUAAAGAAAUCACACUCAACUCAACUUAAGGAUUAGUCAUUUUCCAUGUUAAUCUACUGGUUUCAGUUGCUUAAAUUUUUUUGAAAGCUGGUGUGGAAAAAAGUUAGGAUGUGAUAUGUCAUGUAUUUGUCUAUAGUUCGUAUAAAUUAUGCGCACUAUUCCUUUCUUUUUUUUCAAUUUAAUUUUGUCAGCAGUCCUUUUUUUUUUCUUAUUUAAAUAAAGGCAAUCAACAUAUGUUUGAAGGGAAUUUUAACGAAAAACCACAUUUUUACACUAAAAAGUCAAUCCUGAUACUAUUCACUUUACCCUUUAUUUUGUAAUUAUCUAAUUUUCCCAAUUCAUUUUUUGUUUUGUUUGCAAAUUCUUAGGUACGAGUCAACGUUUAUCAAAAACAUUAUUAAAGUGAUAGGAGACAAGUUAAGUCGCACGCCAUUGAGUGUUGAACCAAAAUUGAUUGGAAUUCAAUCUCAAGCCGAACACAUCAAUUUGUGGUUCCAAGAUGGAUCAAGUGAUGUUGGUAUAUUUGUUGUGUAUGGCAUGUCUGGAAUCGGGAAGACAACCAUUGCAAAACAUGUUUACAAUUCAAACUUUGGAAGCUUUCAAGGAAGUAGUUUCAUUGAAAAUAUCAAGGAAACAGCAGAUCGACCAAAUGGCUUAGUUCAAAUACAAAUGCAACUUCUUUGUGAUAUUUUGAACGGCAGAGAAGUGAAAAUACACAGUGUUAGUGAGGGAAUAAUUAAGAUUGAAAGGGCCAUAAGCUCUAAAAGAGUUCUACUUGUUCUUGAUGAUGUUGACCAUAUGGACCAAUUAGAUGCAAUCCUAACGAUGAAAGAUCAGUUUUAUCCUGGAAGUAAGAUACUAAUAACAACUAGGUGUGAAAGGUUGUUAAAGGCAGAUCAAGUUACCGAGGUGCACAGAGUUCAAACUUUGGAUGACAAUGAAUCAUUAAAGCUUUUCAGUUGGCAUGCUUUUGGCCAGGACCAUCCCAUAGAAGAAUACAUGGAGCACUCAAAACAGCUAGUGCAACAUAGCGGCGGACUUCCAUUAGCUCUAAAAGUUUUGGGUUCUUCUUUAUCAGGAGGACGUAUAGGUGUAUGGGAAAGUGCAUUGGAGAAGCUAAAAGUUAUUCCUGAUGGUGAAAUCAUGAGUAAACUAAGAAUAAGCUAUGAAAGUUUAAAAGAUGACCAUGACCGGAAAUUAUUCCUCCACAUUGCUUGUUUCCUAAUAGGAAGGAACAAAAGUUACAUUGUUAGAAUAUUCGAUGGAUGUGAUUUCUAUACAAUCAUUGGCAUUCAAAAUCUCAUUGAUAGAUGCUUGGUGACACUUGAUGAAUACGGCAAGGUGAACAUGCAUGACUUGAUUCGUGCUAUGGGAAGAGAAAUUGUUCGCCAAGAAUCAGAAGAGCCUGAGAAACGUAGUAGAUUAUGGCGCCAUAAGGAUUCUUUCCAAGUAUUGAGGAAAAAGAAUGUAAGAAACAUGUCUUUUAUGUCUAUAUAUGUAUUUCUUCUUGUGAAAAUUACGCAUAUUAAUGUCUCUAUUGUUUCCUUUAGGGUACAAAAAAAAUCCAAGGUCUUUUCCUGGAUAUGCGUAACCAUCCUGCAAACAAUCCAAUAAACACAAAUGAGAUAGUCUUGGAAACCAAUGCAUUUGCAAGGAUGCGCAAUUUACAACUACUCCAUCUUAGUCAUGUACGAUUGGAUGGAUGUUAUGUAGAUUUCCCUACAGGAUUAAGAUGGUUGUGUUGGCUUGAAUUUCCUUUGGAUUCUAUACCAAUUGAUUUUCCUUUGGAGAACGUAAUUGUUCUUGAAAUGCAAUACAGUAGCUUGAGACAAGUAUGCAAAGGAACAAAAGUAUGUUACUCUAUGCAUUUCAAUUCAUUUUCCUUAUUUUGUUAGUUUUUUAUUUGUGGACUAACUCCAUGUGUUAAAAUGAACUAUUAUGUUUUCUUUAAUUCGAUAACUAAUUUCUUAUGUUAGACACUUAUUUCAUUGUUCUUUUUUUUUCUUUUUUCUUUUUCCUUUGUUUCCACAGUUUCUUCCAUCGUUGAAGAUCCUUGACGUCAGCCAUUCUCAUGGCCUUAGUGAAACCAUUGACUUCUCACUUUCCCCCAAUCUAGAGGAACUGAUUCUUGUAGAUUGCACAAGCCUGAAGAAUGUUCAUGAAUCCAUUGGAAACCUGGAGAGACUCGUGUACUUGAAUUUGAAGGAUUGCAAGAAUCUUAGGAUGCUUCCGAAGAACAUGUGCAUGCUUAAAUCACUUGAAACACUCAUUUUAUCUGGUUGCUUAAAUCUUGAUGAGUUUCCAGUGGAGAUGAUGAAGAAGUUGGAGUCUCUGAAAGUUCUUGAGACGGAUGGAAUUCCAAUAGGUGAAUUGUGGCCAAAAAGAAGUUCAACUAUCUUGAGUUCUUUUCCGUGCUCUUUGGUAGAGUUAAGUCUGAAGGGGUGCAAUCUUUCUGAUGAUGUCUUUUCUACGGAUUUAAGUGCUCUAUCCUACUUGCGAAGACUACAUUUGGAUGCGAAUCCAAUUUGCAGUCUGCCAGUUUUCAUCAAAGGUUUGAGGAGGAUCGAUGAACUCUCUUUCAAGGGUUGUGAUAGGCUCGAAUCGUUUGUGGGGUUGCCGGAAGUACACCAAAGGCUAAGUAUAAAAGAAUGCAUAUCAUUAAAAAAAAUAACUUUUCAUUCCCCUGGGCAACAUUAUCUAACACGUGUAUUUUGCAAUGAGAACCGGAAUCUUGUUGAGUGUGAGUGCUAUUACAAGUUAGAGCCUAUUGAUAGAGUUGAUGUGGAAAUGAUCAAACUUUUGGGCUUGUGCAACUUGGAAUCCAUGCCAGCUGUUCGAAUGCGUCAUCCACUCACAAACAGGGAUCCAAAAGAGGUCCCCGUCCAGGUGCGCCUCUCUUUCUCUCUCUCUCGUAAGUCUUAAAUAUAUAAUGGGAAAGAAAUGACUGAGUAAUGUUGUGAUGACUGUGGCAAAUACAUAGGGACUGUAUCAACAUGGUAUAUUCAGCACCUUUUUUGUUGGGAAUGAGGUUCCAGGCCUGUUCAGCUAUAAAAGUACCAAGUCUUCGAUAUCUUUUAUUGUCCCUUUACUACUUGCUAGUCACAGAAUUCGAGGCUUGAACAUCUUUGCUACCUAUGCAAAGGAAAAUUCAAAUAAUUAUUCUACUAGAAGUGUUAUUAGUCCAAUAAUGAUCAAAGUGAGAAACAAGAGUAAGGGUCUGAAGUGGAUCUAUAACCCAGAGUUCUACGGAAUUCCAAGUGACGUAGAAGAUAUGAUAUGGUUGAGCCAUUGGAAGAUGGAGAAUAAAACAAUAUUACAAUGUGGAGAUGAAGUGGUGGUUUCGGUAAUAACCGGACCACGUGACAUGUUUUGGGUAAAGGAGUUUGGUGUCGAGCUUGUGCAAGAGCACCAAGACAAGAUGAGUACCCAACACAACACCAAAUCCGAUCCUAAUUAUCCAUUUGUUAUCGGUGGAGAUUUGAAGAUGUUUGAGCGCAGACCGGGAAUAUACUUCCUUGGCGAUUAUGUUAUAGAAGAUAUUGAUGACAUUGAUAUCCUCACCAUGGACUCUGAUGAAGAAGACACAAGUAUGUUGUGUUGUUGUAUUGCAUUGAAUUAUACUUCAUUCAAACACUUCCAGGUGUGUCCAUAUUCAUUUCAAAAACGUUUCCAAUAAAUUUUAUGUUAUUUGUAUGUUUUUCAGACAAAGAAGGGCAAGAGGAUGAAUCUGAUUACACAAUUGCAAAGACGAGGGCUGCUAGCAAUAACUGCAGCCUGAGAGGCUGGAAGGUGCGCCUCACAACUGUCGGCUUCUUUUUUGCGCUUGCUCUAGUAGGUUGGUCCUCCAUCUCCCAAAAAAAGAAGCGACACUCGUCCACAAGCGCAACAUGAGUUUGUAAUUUGACUUCAAAUGUGCUUGCUCUAGUAGCUAAGCACUCUUAACCGCUUGAGAUAUAAAAGCCCAUUGCAACUAGAUACUGAACUUCAAAUGUGUUCAACGCCAUCAAAUAUAGCAUAAAAUACAUCCAGCAUUAGGUUCCAAGCCCACUAUUGAAAAUCAUGUUCAUCCACUCUACACAUCCAUAGCAGCAAACUAACUAGGAUACCAGGUGGGGAGGAUACAAUCAUUAACAAUUUCAAAAGCUUUAAAUGCAAUCCGAAUACAUGGCAAGUAGGGGUAAGCAUGUGAACAGAAAAUCAGUGAACAUAAUCAAAUCCAAUAAGUCAAUUUUGGCCUAGAUUGAAAUGAAAAAAACAAGGAAAUGCUUUGUGUAUCGAUUUGUUUAUGAAGGAAAUAAAAGCUAUUUCAUGGAAAUAAAACCUGUGGUUACCUUUGUCUUCCUCUGCCAUUUGUCUAUCGAUUUGUUUAUGAAAGAGGCUAUUCUACAAGAUACAGCAUGACAGGUCUUAGUUGGACCAAGUAAACGGCAUGGAAAUGCUUUCUGAAGCAAGAAUCUGAACUCAAGAGCUUUGUGCCAGAGAGACUUCAGAAAAAUGAAAAAAAAAACAUAGAAUACGGGUAAGAAUAAAUAUCGAUCAGACAAUAAUCACGUAUAAAUCAUUUUUUUCAACUUUAAAGUGUGGCUUAAAAAGAAGCUUUAAACAACUAGCAAUAAUUUCAUAUUGAAAAAUAAAACCUAUUUCAUGGAUAUUACAAGAGCCAUUAUUUUGAAAAACACACCUUUUGGUUCUUCACUGCUUGACUUUUAAGAAGAUCUUCGUUCUUGUGACGAUUCAGAUUCUUUAAAAUAUCUCUGCAACGGAAUAAACAAAACCAAUCUAGGCCAAAAUUGACUUGUUCGAUUUGAUUAUGUUCACUGAUUUUUCUGUUCACAUGUUUACCCCUACUUGCCAUGUAGUUUUGGGGUGUUAGGACAUAGUGCUCUUCUCUUUACACACCAGUUUCAAUUUUAUUCUUCGUAAAUUAAGAGACCGUUUGAUAAUAAUUUCGUUUUCAGUUUAAAAAACAUAAAAAACUAAACGGAGUUUUAAAAUUUUGGCCUAAAAUUUUCACUUUUGGUUUUCAAUUUUAAAUUUUUUUCAAAUAACUGAAAACUAAAAAUAGUUACAAAAAGAAAUUUUCAGUUUUUAAUUUACAAAAAAAGUAAAAACUGAAAACUCUAAACUAUAGACUAAAAAUUAAAAAGUGAAAUCGAAAUGGGCUCUGAACAAAAUUGAAAAAAGACUGGGCUGAAUUACUGAAUUCAAAGCAGGGCUUAUUAACGUUACAAGGCCCAAUGGAUCUAUAUAAAUAUUUUUCGUUUUUUUUUUAACAAACGAUACGAUUUAUAUGGGCUUAAUCUUACAGUGGGCUAACAAUAAUGUUGUUCAAAUUUGUUUUUUGCAAGAAUCGAAUUUAAAACUUAUCACUUACAAAUGAAAAGAAAUACCACUAAACCGUAAUCUACUCGUUAUUUUAUUUUAUAUUUUAAGAAAAAAGAAAGAAAGCAAUGAAAAGCUGUACAUAAAAUAAAUACAAAAAGGGAUGAAAUGAAGAAGAGUGGGAGACUAACGUUUAAUUCAAGAUAAAGAAAGAAAGGUGAUCGCACCACGACGGCGGCGACGUGGCGGUCAUUUAACGGAAAAUAACAGACAAAUCAGCCUCCAGAUCAAGUCUUGAAGCACAACUCUGAAAAAUCGAGACUACCUACAACUGAGCUCCGACCAACCGUCGAUGGAUGCAAUCAGGAAGCUCAGAGAUCAGGUCGCCAAGCAACAGCAGGUACUCCCUCUCGUUUGAUUCCGAAUUUGUAUUUCUGUAUGGAUUUUGGUAUGAACAUAAUCUGCGUUGAUUGCGAGAUACUGAGAUUGCUUAAUGAAAUAAUAUGUAUAUAAUUGUUCGAGUUGAAUUGGAUCGAUUCGAAUUCGAAUAGAAUUUCACUAUUUCUGAGCUGUUUGGGGAUGUGUUGGAGUGCAAUGUUGAUGAAUUUCUGAAAUUUUGAGCUAGGUGUUGCUAAUUACUUAUCGAUUUUUUAUGUAAUUGGAUGCUUAAUUUUUACAUUUUCGGAAAACUUCAAGCGAAAAUGGCAUAUAAUUCAACGUUCCAUGCUUCAUUAAUGCAUAAGAGUUGGUCGAAGCUUGAUCGAGUUUGCUUUUGGUUAUUUUGUGAACACCGUCAGGCUGUGUUCAAACAAUUUUCUGGUGGCAUAUAUGGGGGAUCGGAUAAUGUUGCCUCGGAUGAAAAUGAAUUUCAACAGCAUCAGAAACUCGAGAAGCUGUACAUAUCAACUCGUGCUGCCAAGGUUGCUACUCUUAUUUUUGUCUGUGCUUUAAACGAGCAUCACGUUAGUUGUGUUACCUAUCGUUUUUUGCUUCUUCUUUAACAGCAUUACCAAAAGGAAAUUGUCCGCGGAGUGGAAGGUUACAUUGUGGCCGGCUCAAAGCACGUUGAAAUAGGUAUGUUGCUUGAAAUGCGUUGUCUUUUCUUGGGAGUUUGGAUAUGAAUUCAUGUUGGUUUUAUCAGUUGGUAUACAUAAUACUUUUUUAACAGGUACCAAGCUAUCAGAAGAUAGCAGGAAAUAUGGUUCUGAAAAGACUUGCACCAGUGGUAACACAUUGUCGAGAGCUGCACUAAGUUUUGGAAGAGCUCGGGCCCAAAUGGAAAAAGAGUGCGGAGUUCUACUUAAAGCCCUUGGCACACAGGUUUAAGUCAAAUUAUUACUAACAAUGGCUCAUUAAGUAAAAAUCAAAUAUUGCCAGGGCCGGCUUCAUACAAAUGGAAUUUCAACUGACUAAUUUUCGUGUGCAUUUGAUCAUUUCGAAAGAAAUUUACAGUAAAAAUUGUUUCCAUUUUCACGUGUGGUUCAAGAACUGGACUACUUUUUGUGUUAUUAUGCAUCAUAUGACAAACUGGUUCACCAUUUCUUUCUAUAGGUUUGCAUAAUAACUCUUUCUGUGCUUAUCAAUUUGCCUGUGUAGGUUGCAGAGCCUUUAAGAGCAAUGAUAGUGGGAGCGCCCUUGGAGGAUGCUCGACAUCUUGCUCAACGAUAUGCUAGAAUGCGGCAAGAAGCUGAAGCUCAGGUAUAUGCAGUUUCUUCUGUUUCCUACCAAUUUUAUACUAAAGUGAUUUUACAUGUUACAUGGUGAUCAUACAUUUCUCGGUUAACUUUUUUUGUUUUCUUUUAAAAGUGUUUGUUCAUUUUGGGACAAUCAUGCAUUGGUAUUCAUAGAGAACGCAAAAUCUUAAGAUGUUUAAUGUAACUUGUUGAGAUUGCUUCAUUACCUGAAGCUUUGUUGUAAUUUGGUUUUUGUUUUUUUUUUAUUAUUUGUCUAUAUAUACUAACUCGCACCGGGAUAGGCUAUAGAUGUUUCCAGACGCCAGGCCAAAGUACGGGAUUCAGCAGGUAAUGCUGACAUUAUCAUGAAACUAGAAGCUGCUGAAGCCAAGCUUCAGGAGCUGCAGUCUAGCGUUGCAAUACUGGGAAAAGAAGCUAGUGCAGCUAUGGCUGCUGUUGAAGGUCAACAACAAAGAUUGACUCUUCAGCGGCUUCUUGCGAUGGUAAAGGAUUGCCUCCCCUUUUUGUUUAAGUGUUAAGACCUUGGCCUGUUCUAGUUACAAGACUGAAAAGGAAAUUAAUUUUGUAAAUUUGUCAUUUUUCGUCCCCAUUCAAGGUGGAAGCAGAGCGCAACUAUCACCAGAACGUACUUCAGAUACUUGAUCAGCUUGAAGGCGAGGUAUGAAAUAUCCUAAAGUCUUCCUUUCAGCAAGACAAUUUCCUUUCCCAAAUCAUUUGGCUGUAAAUUAUUCUAGUGUCUUGCUACUUUAAGCAGAGAUCAUUGACACUAUUUGUUGGGACAGAUUUUGUCAGAAAAGCAGCGAAUUGAAGCAUCUCCUAGUCCACCUACAGAGGACUCUAUACCUCCACCACCAUCGUAUGAGGAUCUCAGCCGUAGCUUUGCUUCUGAAACCUAUGAUGAAUUGACAGAAUUGAGGGACUAUUUCUUAGGAGAGGUAUCUUUAUGCUAAU
RNAcentral lists this long non-coding RNA (58415 nucleotides) under Malus domestica (apple). RNAcentral describes it as "long non-coding RNA (MDOM_LNC007218)". The record is from RNAcentral. Lineage: Eukaryota; Viridiplantae; Streptophyta; Magnoliopsida; Rosales; Rosaceae.